Molecule: long non-coding RNA, 56285 nt
Filed under: Hordeum vulgare
Lineage: Eukaryota; Viridiplantae; Streptophyta; Magnoliopsida; Poales; Poaceae
Description: long non-coding RNA (HVUL_LNC015909)
Source: RNAcentral
CCGCAGGUUGCUCCCGUCGGCCCUCUGUUUGGGGAGGGGGGCCUGGUCCACAACGACUAUACCUGCGACUCGGCCAGAGCAUCUUAUGCUGACGCCGGAGGGGAGCAUGCUUGUGCCUGAUGAUCCACUAUUGAGCGUGCAUAGGCGGUGCUUUGAAGAAGUGGGGCAUCCCGGAGGACGCGGAGGCCUUCGAGGACGCUCUUCUCUAGCGAUUCCUCGCCCUCUCCGGGGCCUCCUAUCCAAGGAGGAGACCAAGGCGGUUCACACCCUUUUCAGGAAUGUUCAGCUCUCCGAGGUCCACUGCUCAACCCCCAUGCCCUCCACAGCUUCUAGUUGGACACAUGCUUGACGUGUCGCGGCGGCCUUAUUUUGCCGUCUGCAAGUCCAUCAGAUGAUCCAUCUUCUACAUGAUUAUCUUCUCCAUUGCUUUGCGGGUCAACCUGUUGACUAGACUCAUUAGUCACAUCGUUCGACUCGAGUCGAGCCAAGUCACGAGUUACUCACUUAGCUCGCCAGUUUCGAGUUACAAUUCCAGCCGUAGCAGAUGACAUGAUAGGUUGGCAAGUACCAUGUGCUCUAGUCAUCUUGCAUCGAGCGGUUUCUCGUACAAUUUCCACAAGCUUGUAUUGCUGACGCAUUUGCAAAGACUGGGUGUUAGUAUUGUAUCCCGUGAUUGUUUCCUGUUGAUAUUUCCCUCCGCAGCUGAUCAGGGUCUUCACUUCCUCAUCUAUCCGUUGUAAGUUUGAGCUGGUUCUCUAAUAGUAACUUCUGGCCCAUAGUUGCUGGAAUGUGAUCUGAGGUGUUGACAUGAGGGUUCUAUAAAUUGUGUAGGGAAAGUAGCUCACACUGGAAGUAGCAUGUAUGUGAAGCCUCUAAAGUGAGGCCAUGCCAUUAUUAUUUUCCAAAUAGCAUGAUUUGUAAAGUGUUGUCGAGCAAUGCACUCGCGGGACGAACAUGUGAAUGUAGUUUUGUGAUAGAGUUCAAUUCCCGGACUUCGACUUCUGGGAGGUUGGUAAGCAUACGCAGGACAAACACAGUUUUAAUGUUGAUAUUGUUUCCUUUUCACCCUCAAAAUCUCCAGCCUGCAGGCUUUGCGUGAUGAUCUCCUUUAGGAUCUUCUGACUUCUGAGGAUAUUCUAGGCUUUUCUUGAUGUCUGAUGCCAACUGGUCUGCUACUCCUGUACCCCUGUUUAGUUUAUUUUUGUAGACGAACUGUGGGCAUUUGCUUAGACAUGGUGAGCUAGUGAAGCGCUACAAUAAAUAAUUCGCUGAAUCAACUAUGACUUGAACUCUUUGAUGCAUAUGCUUCAGUAAUAGUAAUUCCUUAAUUCUGACUGUUCCAAGCAGGUUUUCCGUUAGAGUUGCAAUGUUGGUAUUCUUACUCCCAUAUAAUAAAAUUCCAAAUCCAGGAACCCUGGCACUUCUGUUGUCAUUUACUCCGAUAUAAUAAUAUCUGCAAGAAUAAGCAAACAUUUACAACAGAGUUGAUAUGUCCUUAGUCCUUAUCCAUGUUCAAGAGUGCAUGAUCAAUGACUGUCUAAUGGAUCCUGUGAAACAAUUCAGAUAACAUAUCUGUUUGGCAUUACUGAUUGUGGAUUAUUGAUAUUCUCAAAUCCUAUUAAAAUGAAGAAAAUGAGUCCGGCAAUAGCACUGGUUCUGUUAAUGUUUCAUCGCAGUUAACAGGGAAGAGUAUCAUUUCCAUAUAAUUGAAGUGAAGUGUUAUUCCUGACACAAAGGCACAAAGCAACAGUUAAUAUCCCUGUGUUGCCUAUUUGUUAGCAUAGAUAUAUUAUUAUGGGUCUCUUGCCUAAUACUGUUGAUAGCCUUCACUGUUUUCUGAUCAGGAUCAUCUUAUACAGAUGAAAAGUAUUAUCCGUUUUCAAUUAUUUCUUAUCCAUGUUCAGUUUUGGUUCCUGUUGUCAUUUGUUAUUUUAAUAAAUUAUUGCUUCUUUACGUGCUACAAGUACUGUGCAGUUAUUGGUGUGUCAUGUAUUAAAUAUGUUAAUAUUAUACUUUUGUUUCAGGCUCUUUAUUAUUGUAUUCCAUUUCGGGAGCAGUUGCUGGAAUAUUACGCAAAUUACAGGAAUCCAGGAGAUGCUGAGGAAAAUUUGUUGACCUGCUUGGCAGAUCUUUUUGCGCAGGUGAAAAUACAAAUACUGUUAUUAGCUGAUACACUGCUACAUUUGCUAGGUUGUUGCUCUAAAAAAUCAAUUAGGGUACCCCACUCCAUCACUACUAGUCAGUGCACGCAUGGAUUGCAUGCCAUCAUAAAAUGUGAAGAUGAUAAUAUUGAAGAUUAUUGGUUUUUUACUUCAAAUAUAUGCUUACCAAUAGAUUGAUUUGUUUCUCAUACACGGUUCAAAUCGUUCUGUCAUCAAGUCAUGAAGAGAAUGGGAGUCAGGUUUUUAGUUUUAUUUGGUGAUUGUUAGGGGGGGGGGGGGGGGUAUGGCAAGCAAAUAGAAUUCUGAUAGCAAUUAAUGGAUAGCAGAACCAACUUAAUGACUGAGCUAUCUGAUUCGAUUAAUCAGAUGAUUAUAAAGUGUGGUUGUGGGCAGGGGUAGCAAAGACUGAAGAAUCAACUCAUGUCUUUGUAUGGUCUGGGACCCACAUAAUGACAAUCUAUAUUUCUUGGUGAUUGAUAGGUUACGACUAUUUUGCUCAAAAGAAUAAAGUGGUAGCAGCAAUUCAUUCUAGAUUUUUUUUCAAAAAAUCAAAUAUGAUACUUUUGUAUGUGGCAGUAUUUUAUAACAAGUGAGAGAAGCAGGCAGUAGUUAAAGUGAUACUUUUGAGACCAUUUCAAUAUCUAAAACGGCCUGUAUUGAGUGACGGAGGAAGUACUAAGAGCACUAAUAAGUAAUAAAAUAACAUUGUUUCUUGACAACUCGUUCCUAUUUGGACCGAACUUUUUCCUCACUAUAUGACAGUUUUUGUGUGCUUGCGCAUGUAUGUGUUUGCUUUGGGGAAGAGUACUUGAACCUGAGAAAACUACUUCCUCCGUCCCAAAAUAAGUGACUAAAAAAUGACUCAACUUUGUACUAUAGUACAAAGUUGAGUCAUUUUUGAGUCACUUAUUCUUAUUUUGGGACGGAGGUAGUAUAUUAUAGAAUAUAAAUGGUGAUUUCUCAUUAUUUACACUUUCAGGGCGUUGAUUGGACACAUUAGUCAUAGAUGCUAGAUAAUACCAUAGUUAAUUUGGCUUGUCUCAAUUCUUAGUUUUGUACAGUGCUUGCUGACAAUUUUAAUAAUUGUUUUAUCUAGCUGUCUAACUCAUAAAAAUAUGACUUCUAAGAUUAACUCACUUGCAACCAAGGCAAGCCAGCAGACAUGUUAUUAGUUUCUAGUAGCUACCGACUCUCCAUUUUUAUGCUUUCAUGGGCAUGAAGUUAUUUGGUUUGCACAUGUUACCUAAAACUUCUGCACAUUUUUGUUCGUCUAGUAACAAUGGUUGCUGAUAACUUGCAGAUAAGCCUAUCGAAGAAAAAAACUGGUGUUAUUUCUCCAAAACGUUUUGUCCAUAGAGUGAGGAAACAGAAUGAAUCAUUUCGUGGUUCUAUGCACCAGGUAACUUGCAGAUAGCUUAUAAAGCUUGUUAAUGCUCAGGUAUUUAUUUGGUAACUAGAUUAGGGGCGCGGCUUGCCGCGCGCUACGUGUCAUUCACAUAAUCAUUCACCAGGCAAACCAGUACGUAUAUCAACAGUGGAAUACAUUUUUGGAUACAAAGGAGAGAUGAAAACCAGAGCUUGACUAAUGGAAAAACAGAAAUAUAUCAACAGAUGAAAUAACACCACAGCACCAAACCGCAUGGUACCAUCAGUUUCCAACAAUUCGGUUCUAAGCAAAAUACAAAAUUUGAAAAACCAAGGCCAAGAAAUACAAAGUUCAAAUGAAUCGUGCCCCACAGAAUUAUUUUUCCCUUUGAUUAGGGUGUAAUCCAUUUGCUUCUCCCCAGUGGCCUUUGUGGACAAAUGGCGCCACUGUCAUGGUAAACAAUGUUAGCAUAUGGCCAAUAUCACUGCAAAUCAAAUAAUUCAACCAAGCUACAUAUCAAGGAAGUAGUACAUUUAUAUAUGUAUAUACUUACAAAAGGUAAUCUUUAUACAGAUAACAAUAAGAGAAUACAAUACAAACCAAACCAUUAUAAGAUCACCUUGUUUAUUUGUAACCAAGUUAUUAUGAUAAUCAAUGUGGCAUAAUCUGGAAAUAAUGUAACUUACUAUAACUACAUUGGGAAGGGUAAGAUAUAGGAUAAGUGAUAAUAUUGCACUGUCACAUUUAUAGAUUUCACAUUAGCAUAGACCAGUGUUAUAGUGAUGGUAGUACUCCCUGCGUUUCAAAAUAAUUAAAGUUCUAGUCACAGUGUUAUAGCGACGGGGGCAGAGAGACGGGCGGUAGUGGCAACUGAAGGAAUGUGAAGCCAGUCAAGCGAGUAAUCUGGCUAAUAGAAAAGAGUUUGUCAUGUGGGGUCAGCCCUAUAGGCGACGACCCACGCGGGCUGGACCUGCACCAGCCUAAGCUAUGACAUAUUGUAAUUACAGAAGUUGUGUUAGAUUAGGAGUCUGGGCUAGUUGAAAAGGUUUAGUCCCAUAGAAGGUUACCCUGCCAACUCCCAAUUAGAGUAGGAGUCUAGUCUUGUAAUCAGGCUUUAUAUAGCUAGCUUUGGGGAUCAAUAAAGUUAAGCAGAAAACGAUCUAAUCUCUCACCCCUUGCUCCUGCGCUUCGGCGCCUCUCCUCACCCCUUCUCCAGCAAUAGGCCGGCACGGGACUCGCCCUCGGCCUCCUGUAUUCCACGACUACAACCUCCGUUCCAACCCACCAACCCGUGACAACUUGGUAUCAGAUUCUUCGUCGAUCCAGGCGGCAAUGUCUCCGCCGCCUCCACCGCCUCCGCAGCCGGCGCCCUUGCCGCAAACCUAGAAGACCUCGCGCUCAAACAACACGAGGAUCAUGAGGCCGUGGUAGCCACGCUGAACGGCCUCUCUGAGGAGAACCACACCGCGCGGACGGAGCGUGUAGAGGACCGCGCUACCCUCAAAUCAAUCGCUGACACACUCAAGGAGCUCUAGGGACAGUUCGCCGAUGCCUCCCAGCAGCAGUGCGCGCAGAAUCUGGCCAUCCUCCGGCUUGAAGGGAAGGGCACGACCCAACUAGGCGGCGUCGGCCUCCUGCGGCCACCCGAGCCGUCCCAUGCCGCAGCCCCGGCCGUCAUGACCGAACCACCAGAUCGGGCGCUGCGCCUCUACAAGAUCGACUUCCCCCUCUAUGACGGGUCCAGCGAUCCACGGCCCUGGUUGACACGCUGCAACCUGUUCUUCUUGGGCCAACGGACGCCGGAGGCCGAUAAAACUUGGCUCGCCUCCUACCACCUCACCUAUGUCGCCGCAUUAUGGUAUGGCCGCCUUGAGAAAAAGCUGGGCCCGUGGCCGUCUUGGAUUGAGUUUCAAAAGCUGAUCGCCAACCACUUCGGUCCGCCAACACGCGUCAACCCCUUCGGCGAGCUUAUCUCCACCCGCCGCUCCGGCACCGUGGCAGAAUAUUCCAAGCGCUUCCUAGAGAAUCUCUCUCGGUUGCGCCCCAUUGCCGUCGAUGAUGAGAGGGAUAUCUUCACCAACAACUUGGGUGAGCCCAUGAAAACUCAGGUCGAGAUGCUGAAACCAGCGACUUAGGACGCGGCCAUGGACUUAGCAAUCUCCUUUGAGCACCUCAAUACUUUCACCAGCGCCGCAGCCCCCGCUGUACGGACCAGCAGUCCACCCGGGCCCAUGGGCGCACCUAAUCCGGCCUUACCAGACCCCUCUAGCCCCUCGCCCGCACUCGUCUUCAAAAGACUCACGCCGGCCGAGAUGGAUGAACGGCGCGCUAAGGGUCCGUGCUUCAAUUGUGACGAGAAGUUUGCACGGGGCCAUCGCUGCAAACGUCUGUUCUACAUAUAGUCCGCCGACGCCGACGACGAGCAGUUUGAGGAUUUCCAGGAGGCACAAAUCUCCCUCUUGGCUGUCACCGGCAUUCCCACCAGCGACACAAUGCAGGUUACUCUCCGCAUCGGGGACCAUGACCUGGUAGCCUUGCUUGAUUCGGGCAGCACUCGUAACUUCAUCAACGAAGAGCUGGCCACCGUCGUCGGGCUUCCUUUCUCCUCCAAUCAGCGCCUGGGAGUCACGGUCGCUAAUGGCGAUAAGGUGACCUGCCGGGGACUCCUGCAGCAAGCUGCGAUCACCAUUGACAAGGAGCGUUUCGUGGUGGAUCUGCAUGCCAUUCAAUUGGGCGGGUUCGACAUUGUCCUUGGCACACGAUUUCUCAAAACUCUUGGGCCAAUUCUCUGGGACUUCACGACGCAGUGGAUGUUGUUUUGGCACUCGGAUCACCGGGUGGAGUGGUCGGGACUUGGUUCCAUCGGAAGGCCCGCCAACCUACAUGCGUGCGAAGGCAAGGAUCUCCUGGACAGCCUGCUGGCCACAUUCGUCGACAUUUUUGGGGACCCUCAGGGUCUGCCACCGCAGCGUGCCCAUGACCAUCAUAUCCAUCUUCUUCCUGGGACACCGCCGGUUGCUGUCCGCCCCUACCGCUACCCAACUAUUUAGAAGGACGAACUAGAGCACCAAUGUUCACAAAUGCUGGUUCGUGGUUUGAUGCGUCCUAGCUCUUCGGCAUUUUCCUCCCCAGUUCUACUCGUCCGGAAGCAUGACGGGACUUGGCGUUUCUGUAUCGACUACCGUGGUCUCAACCUUGUCACCAUCAAGGACAAGUUUCCUAUUCCCGUUGUCGAUGAACUUCUGGAUGAGCUGAAGGGCGCCCGUUUUUUCACCAAACUGGAUCUCCGGUCCGGUUACCACCAAGUUCGGAUGGCCCCUGAGGAUAUCCACAAGACGGCGUUCCGCACACAUGAGGGCCUUUUUGAGUUUGUGGUGAUGGCUUUUGGGCUGACCAAUGCCCCAGCAACGUUCCAAGCACUCAUGAACGACGUCCUUCGUCCCUAUCUUCGCCGGUUUGUGCUUGUGUUCUUCGAUGAUAUCUUGAUCUAUAGCUCGUCCUGGUCGGAUCACCUUCAUCAUGUCAAGCUCGUCUUGGAGGCUAUGGGCGCACAUCAACUGUUUCUCAAGCGCUCCAAGUGUUCUUUUGGGGAGGAAACCAUGGCUUAUCUAGGACAUGUCAUCUCCACUGCAGGAGUCACCAUGGACAGAGACAAGGUUCUCGCCGUUAUGGAUUGGCCGGUUCCACGCAGUGUUUGGGCGGUGCGCGGUUUCUUAGGUCUGGCGGGCUACUACCGCAAGUUCAUCCGAGAUUUUGGCAUCAUUGCAGCUCCCCUCACUCACUCCUCAAAAAAGACGGAUUUCUUUGGACGCCUGCAGCAACUACCGCCUUUGAGGCUCUCAAGACAGCUCUUACCACUGCCUCUGUGCUUCAGCUGCCGUAUUUUGCCGUCUCUUCAUUGUGGAGUCUGAUGCCUCUGGAUCGGGUUUCGGGGCAGUCCUGCAUCAAGAUGGAGGGCCCAUUGCCUAUUUCAGCAAAACCAUCGCUCCGCGUCAUGCUUCACUCGCCACGUACGAGCGGGAACUCAUUGGUCUGGUCCAUGCUGUGCGCCACUGGCGGCCCUAUCUGUGGGGACGUGCGUUCAUCGUCAAAACUGACCGCUACAGCCUGAAGUUUUUACUGGACCAACGCCUCGCUACCAUUCCGCAGCAUCAUUGGGUGGGCAAGCUGUUGGGGUUCGACUUCACGGUGGAAUAUAAACCAGGUCGUCAAAACAUCGUCACCGACGCUCUUUCUCGACGUGAUGCUCUUGCUGGCCCGGCACUUGCCAUAUCCGGGCCUGCUUUUGAUAUAUUUGAAGCUCUUCGUCAGGCUGCUCAAACGGAACCCGCGCUCGUCGCAUUACGGGAACAACUCCAAUCUGGUGAGUUGGGCCAGCCCUGGGCUCUCGUGGACGGUAUUGUCACCAUUCAGCAGCGGGCUUAUGUGCCACCCGCGUCGCCGCUGGUUGGGGAAGUCUUGCUGCAGCCCACGAUGCAGGACAUGAAGGUAUCCAGAAGUCGCUUUAUCGUCUUCGUCGGGAUUUCCAUCUACCGCAAGCAAGGGCAGCACUUCAGCAGUAUAUUCGUGCUUGCCAAGUUUGUCAACGCAACAAGACGGAGCAGCUUCAUCCAGCCAGCUUGUUGCAGCCCUUGACAGUUCCAUCUCGUGUCUGGGAAGACAUCUCCAUGGAUUUCAUUGAGGCACUUCCAAAGGUGGGCGGCAAGAGUGUGAUCCUGACCGUCGUGGACCGUUUCUUCAAGUAUGCACAUUUCAUACCCUUGGCGCAUCCGUAUACUGCUGAGUCUGUCGCUACGUCCUUCUUUUCUAACAUUGUCCGACUUCAUGGGUUUCCAACAUCCAUCGUUUCGGACCGGGAUGUGGUUUUUUACUUCAGGCUUUUGGAAGGCUCUAUUUGCCGCCGCCUGGACGCACUUGCACAUGAGUUCGGCCUUUCAUCCACAGUCUGAUGGACAAUCGGAGGUCGUGAAUCGAGUCAUCACUAUGUACUUGCGUUGCAUCACCGGGGAUCUUCCAAGGCAGUGGCUGCAAUGGUUACCUUGGGCGGAGUACUGCUACAACACUUCGUACCAUUCAGCAUUGAAGGAUACUCCUUUCAGGGUGGUUUAUGGUCGGGAUCCCCCCUCGCUCCGGGACUAUACGCCGGGCGAAAUUCGCAAUCAGGCAGUCGAACGGCAGCUCCUCGACUGUGAUCAAUACCUACCCGACAUCCGUGAGCGUCUCCUUCAGGCAGCACAGCAGUAGAAGCAUUACUAUGAUGAUAAGCAUCAGGCUCUUUCUUUUGAUAUUGGCGAGUGGGUUUGGCUACGUCUUCAGCACCGGCCGGCUGCAUUCCUUGGAGUGGGCGCUAAAGGGAAGUUGGCUCCCAAAUUCUACGGGCCUUUCAAAGUCCUCGCUAAGAUUGAUACGGUUGCUUACCGUUUGGAGCUACCCCCACGUGCCCGCAUUCACAAUGUCUUCCAUGUCGGGGUCCUGAAGAAAUACCAUGGUGAGCCACCUGAAGUUCCACCGAUGCUUCCCCCGCUGUUUCAAGGUCGAGUGCAUCCAACUCCUAUCAAGGCAUUGCGUGCUCGUAUUGCUCGCGGCGUUCAACAAGUGCUCAUUCAAUGGGAGGGCCAGCCAGCGUCUGCUGCAUCAUGGGAGGAUGUCCCUACCUUCCGUGAUCGUUAUCCAGGUUUCCCUCGAGCUGUUUCAGAAUGGAGGGGGAGAUGUCAUGUGGGGUCAGCCCUAUAGGCGACGCCCACGCGGGCUGGGCCUGCACCAGCCUAAGCUAUGGCAUAUUGUAAUUACAGAAGUUGUGUUAGAUUAGGAGUCUGGGCUAGUUGGAAAGGUUUAGUCCCGUAGAAGGUUACCCUGCCAACUCCCAAUUAGAGUAGGAGUCUAGUCUUGUAAUCAGGCUUUAUAUAGCCAGCUUUGGGGAUCAAUAAAGUUUAAGCAGAAAACGAUCUAAUCUCUCACCCCUUGCUCCUGCGCCUCGGCGCCUCUCCUCACCCCCUUCUCCAGCGAUAGGCCGGCGAGGGACUCGCCCUCGGCCUCCUGUCUUCCACGACUACAACCUCCGUUCCAACCCACCAGCCCGUGACAGAGUUGCAUGGUAAGCCGAGGAACGGGAGCAACAUGAAAAGAUGAAGUGCUAAGGGUGGCAUGACUAGCAAUAGGAAGAGAAGUACCAUAUGCAGCAAGAACAUGAAUAAGAUAAUCUAGAACUCAAAUGGACGACAGCAGAAGAAUCAGGAGUCGUAUGGAAAGAUGCUCCAGAAUCAACAAUCCAUGGGGAUGUACCUAAUGAUUGACUCAAUGUGGCCAUUGGAGGAUGCGUGGUAUGGAGAAUCCAGAGAAUUUGAUCCAAGAUCGAAAAUGAGAUGUAAUUGAUCGUGAGGAAACACUAAGCCCCAAUACAAUGUGAGGAAAUAUGUAACUUGUAUUUCCAUGAGGCCGUAGGCCAAUAUAUAUGCACUACACGUGCGGUAAAUAUGCAGAAAACCCCUUAUACAAAUAUACGAUGACUAUAUUACAUGGCUAAGUAUAUACAACUCUUAAGAUUGACAUAAAAGAGUAAUUAUUCCAUAAGUAACUCCUCUUUGCUGUAUGUAGGAUGCCCAUGAAUUUUUGAAUUUCUUGUUGAAUGAGAUUGUCGAUAUUCUGGAAAAAGAGUUUAGUACUGUGAAUGAUUCUCCUGAAACUACAUCCCCUGGAAGGGUGCCAAAUGGGGAAGUUUAUCAUUUAGCCAAUGAAUUUCGAAGGGAGCCGCUGGUUACAUGGGUCCACAAGAAUUUCCAGGUGACUAGUCGCUAAAAUGCAAAAAAUAUGUGUUUUCUUCCAAGAAUUUUGUGCAUAAUCACCAUUUCCAUUUGCAGGGUAUUUUGACCAAUGAAACAAAGUGCCUGAUGUGUGAGACUGUCACUGCAAAGGAUGAGACUUUUUUAGAUUUGAGCAUCGACAUUGAACAGAAUAGUUCACUGACAAGCUGCCUGAAGAGUUUCUUUUCCACUGAAAUUUUAAAUGCCGAGGACAAGUUUUUCUGUGACAACUGCUGCAGGUAACAAUGUUACUAUGUCAUUUUGAUCCUUAAUGUUCUGUCUCUCGGAGCAACAAUAGAGGCUUUACGCAUUAAAUUGCUAACAAGAGUUUAAAUUGUUAUGGUGCUACUUAUGGAAUGGAUCAACUUGCCAAGUUAAAUCUUGGCUAUAGAAAAAUACAUUCAAACAACUAUUCUUGAAGAGGACCUUGUAGAUCCAUUUCCUCAUUUUUUUUCUUGACGUUGCUGCUGUCUUGAACUCGAUUGCGGGCAAGGUUAACAAUCUUAAUUUGUUAUGUUUUCUGCAAGUUUUUGUUUUUUGCUCCUUGUAGAUAUUGCAUGAUUGUUUGCAUGUACAGUAUGAUCUAUAUAUUUGGUUAAAAUGAUUGCUAAGUAGUACCUCAGAUGUCUGUUUGUUCUGUGCGUUCUGCUCACUAGGUUGUCAACCUUGGUCCUCCUAGACCGAAAAAAAUGCGUUGAGAAUUAGCAUACGUGGAAAGACCCUUUGUGCUGCUUGAUUUCCUUUUAACACUGAAAUUGUGGUGCACUUUUCAGUUUGCAAGAAGCACAGAAGAGAAUGAAGAUAAAGAAGGCGCCACAGAUAUUGGUAAUCCACUUAAAGCGCUUCAAGUUCAUUGAACAGCUGAGUCAGCACAAGAAACUGUCAUACCGAGUGGUAUACCCCAUGGAGCUGAAGCUGAGCAGUGCCUCUGAUGAUGUAGAUUGCGCAUACUCACUCUUUGCUGUGGUAGUCCACCUUGGGAGCGGCGCCAACCAAGGACACUAUGUAAGCCAAAUUAAAAGCGGCGACCACUGGCUGUCAUUUGACGAUGACAGUGUCGACAGGAUUCAGGAGUCCACCCUGCAAACUUUCUAUGGUUCUUCUCGCGAAUAUUCUGGCAACACCGAUCAUGGCUACAUCUUGUUCUAUGAGAGCAUUUCAAAGAGCUAGGAAUUUUCUAGUCUAGGAUUAGUGCUAGUGAUGAAAUAAUAUGUACAGUUUACAGGAUGGGAACCUGAUACCUUUUCGUUUUUAAAUUUUCCUCAGUGCAAUAGCAUAGACUUCGUUAAAUUAAAGCUGGACUAAAGUUUUUCUGGUAACAGAGACCAAACGCGUAUUCAGAUUCGUACGGAGCUGCUCUGUAUGGCGAUUUGGCUCCUGUGUCCAUAUUCUCUGGCAAUCUUGUCGGCCGUACUUUACAUAUACAGUGCUAUCUAGAGGGAGAAAUCGUACGGUCGCCCCCAUCAUGGACGGCUUUUCUGAAUAGGGCAGUUAUUGCUGUGAAAAUAUCUGGUAGUUCAGCGCAUGAGAUGAUACAGGCUUUUGAGAUCCAACGCUUCAUGGCACCUACGUGUCAUGAAUUAUCUUCAGAGCAUCUUGAACAGCUGCCCCUACGUGUCAUGAAUAAUCCCUCCCUAUAUAUAUAUAUAUAUAUAUAUAUCUCUUAAUAAUAAAGCAAAUACGGUUUUUGGUCGUCCGUCUUAAAAAUUACUCUAAAGUUUACAUAAAUUACCCACCAUGCCACCGAUAAGUACUAGAAAACGUUUCAUAAAGUAAAAAAUCUUGAACUGGGCCGGUCCAUGCAAAAACGUCCUAUAUUACGCUAUGCACGCUAGGAGAAUAUCCAACACACCGUAUGGGCCGGCCCAUGCACAGGCGCCUGCUUUUAGUUCCAUUUAUUUAUAUAUUUUCAGUUCUUUUUUUUUACUUUAAAUAAUUUAGAACUUCAAAUAAUCUUUAAAAUUUUAAUAAACUGAAAAUUAUAAAUCAACACAUUUCAAAAAUUAAAAUGUUUGUGACUUCAAAAACUGCUCGAAGUUUUGUAAAAAAUACAUGCAUAUACAAUAAAAUGUUUGCAAUUUUAGAAAAAUAUUUGUACAAUAAGAAAAGUCCAUGAUCUCAAAUAUAAUUCCAUGUAUUAAAAAUUAUUAAAGGCAUUUAACAAAAUGCUUUCUAAUUCAAAAUAUGUCAAUGCAUUUAAAAAAUGUCCUAAUAUUUUAAAAAUAGCUAAUGCCUGUUUUGAUAGUUUCUUUUUUUUAUUUAAAAUUUUUCGUUCCAUUUUUGUUUAUUUAUAAUUUAAAUAAUUUAGAAUUACAAAAACUUUUCCAUACUAAAAAUUAGGAAUUUUGAAUUAAAAUGCUGACGAAUUUUUAUUUUGAAUUAAAAAUAGGAUUCAAAAAAAGCACCGGAUUUUUAUAAUUUUUUUCGCAAAAUCCAAAACAAUGUCCAUGAAUUUAAUAAAUAUAUUAGUGAUUUAUAAAAAUGUUUAUUUAUUCAGAAAACUUCAUGCAUUUCAAAAAAUGUUUGUGAAUUUAAAAUAAAAUCCUCCAACAUCAAAAAUUAUGUUCGUAUUAUCUUGAAUUGGUUGCGAAUUCAAAAGAAAAUAUUUAAACCCGUUCGAAAUAUAAAAGAUAUUCACGAUUUUUAGUAAAUGUUUGUAAAUUGUAAAAAAUGUUCUCAAUUUUAAAAUUGUUUCCAUAUUUGUAAAAUUAUUCACGAAAGGUCUAAUGUAUGUAGUUAAACAUUAAUGCUUCUAAGUCUAUGUGACAAUAUACCUGUGUGAAUUUUGAAGAAUUAACUGUUGGAUGCAUCGGAUUACUAUUGUAUGUUUUCAAAAAAAAAUCUUGAAAUUCAGAAUAAAUCUUUGAGUUACCAAGAUUUUUGAAAAUGUAAAGAUUGCUUCAACUUGUGAAUAAAUUUAAAAGAAGAAACAUUUUUCUUGCAUUUGUGUAUAAAAUUUCUAAAUCAAGCGAUGAUAUGUGAAUAUAAUGUGUUCAUCAUCAUUGGAGAUUAUGUUCUUUUUCUUCCGUGGCAACGCACGGGCCAUUUUGCUAGUAUAUAUAUAUAUAUACAAAUAAAGCACCUAUUGCUUCUGUGGUACGUCAUUAAAAUUGCCUUCAAAAUUGUCUAAUAUUACCCACCAAUGCCACCUAUAAGUUAUAAAAAACGUUUUGCAGGGAAUUCUUGCAUGGGCCUCCCAAGCAUAGGGAUCAACUAUACUACGCUCAGCUUGCUGGAAAAUAAACAGCACGCUCAUUUGGGCCAGCCCAUGGGCGGGGACCUGUUUUUUUAGUUUUUUUAAUUAUCAUUUAUCUGUUCCUUUUUAUUUUUUAUAAUUCUAAUAAGCAAAAAAAUUUGAAAUUCAAAAAUUAUAUUUACAUAAAUGUUUAAUAAAACAUUAAAUGUUUGAGAAUUCAAAAAUUAUUCAGGAUUUUUGUAAAAAUGUUUGCAUAUUAAAAACAUCGUAAUUUUGGAGAAAACAUUCGUGAAUCAAAAAAGUCCAUCAUUUUGAGCAAUUUCUUUAAUGCAAUUAAAAAAUGUUUGAUAAUUCAAAAAAUGAAUUAUUCGCCAAUUCACAAGAAAAUACUUGAAAGUAGUUCGUAAUAUAAAAUAUUGUUUGGAAUUUUAAAAAAAUGUUUAUAAAUAGAAAAAAAGUUGUCAAUUCUAAAAUGUUUCCAAAUUUGUAAGAAUGUUUACAAAUGAUCGAAUGUAUGCAGUUCAACAGUAAUGCUUCUGAGUCUUUCAUACUAUAUACGUGAUUGGAUUUUGAAGAAUUAAUUGUUGGGAUGGAUCGGAAUAUUAUAGUAUAUUUUUAAAAAUGUUUCUUGAAAUUCAGAAUAAUUCUUUAAGUUACCAUGUUUUUUGACAAUCAUGAUAUUUUUUAAAAAAUAUAAACAUUGUUUCAACUUGUGAAUUGUGAAUAAAAUUGAAAGAAGAAAUAUUUUCUUGCAUUUGUGAACAAAAUUUCAAAAUCAUGCGAUGAGAUUUGAACAUGAUGUGGUCAUCGUCAUUGAAGAUGGUGGUUUUUUCUUCCGUUGAAACGCAUGGACCCUUUUGCUAGUAUUAAUUACAUAUUGAACUACUGUCCUAAAUUAGGACAACGGCUAAAAAAUUGACGUUUAGACAUUUUACCCAAAAUCCUUUCUCCCACGUUGUCCUAUAUUUUUUUCCAGAAAAAUCAGAGAGCUUUAUUCAUAUAAAUGCAUUCUUGGAACAAUCAGCCAGAGGCCGAACACCAAGAAGGUAGGAGUUUCAUCUAGCUUGUUGUCGGUCACAUUCAGUGUACAAGCACAUAGAUGCACCGGAAGGUUUGCCGACGUGUUUACAUGCUGAAUAAUAAAAGAGGUAAAAAGAUCAUUAAGCUCUCCUAUCUCUACUAGUAAAGGAGCUAUAAUUAAACGAGAAUUGUGGCGAGUGUUCGAGAGUGUCACCAAAUCCAUGCAAUCAACUUCCAUAAUCGCAUGUGAGAACCCCCGAAGAGAAGCAAAACGAACGCCAUCUCGCAAAGAAAGACCCUCCAUGAUCAAGGGGUCCGAGAUCCCCAUGUAUGGCUUGCACCAUGCACCUAGGAGGGCCGAGGAGGAGCGAGCAACUCCUCUGACACCCCCUGCCAUCUACCAAAUUGAGGGCUCCAUCUGUGGUGAUUUGUAUAAAACCAUCGACAGGCGGCCGCUACCCAAAGCUCGACAAUACCAGCGCGUCCUUGCGAGGUUGAUGAAGGAGCGCAAUAGCCUCCUUUGUAUCUCUGAUCGUCGUUGUAGGAUCUGUCCCUUCUUCACCAUGCUUGAUGUGAUUCCUGGAAUGCCAAAUAGACCGCAUAAUGGUAGUGAUCUUAGCGCGAUCAUCAUCAGUAAAUAUGGGAUGGCAAAUGAUAUCCCGCGCCCAUGAUUCCGGAUGAAGACGAGGAAGACGAAGUCCAAACCAUGCACAUGCCUCGUCCCAGAAACGCUGGGCAUGUGAGCAAUGGAUUAGUGCAUGUUUCAGAUCCUCAUCCAUAGCUAGACAUACUUUGCAUCGACGAAUCUUUGCAGUAUGUCGAUAAUUGAGAGUGGUCUCAUCUGGAAGGAUCCCGUGAACAACUCUCCACCAGAAAACUCUCACUUUUGGAAUGACAUUCAAUUUCCACAAGGUUGUCCACAACUAUUGAUCAUACUUUGAGAUUCCGGUAGUCGUCCCUUCCUGUAGAGCCAAUCGCUCAUUCUGAGUCACAAGAGCAUGGUACACCGUCUUCACAGUGUAGUUUCCAUAUUUUUAGAAUGCCUAAGCACGGAAAUUGUUGCCUCCUCCCUGUCGAAUAGGAAUAUUAAGAAUGGCCUCGGCAUCCGAAGCAAUAAAAUUACCUCUGACCACAUCCUAUCUCCGAAACCAAUUGGUUGUACCGAUAAGAUCCGUCACCCGCUCGCUGUUGGUGUUGGGUGGCCUAGAGAGAUGCGACACCCUUGAUUUGAUCGUACACUAAUCAUACACGCAAAUGCGUACGACCAAGCUCAAGGACUCACGAGAAGAUAUCACAACACAACUCUAGACACAAAUAAAACAUACAAGCUUCAUAUUACAAGCCAGGGACCUCGAUGGCUAGAAUACAGAAGCUCGAUAAACACACGAGUCAGCGGAAGCAACAAAUAUCCGAGUACAGACAUUAAACAUGGGGGUGCCUUAGAGAAGGCUAGCACAAAAGAUACAACGAUCGAACGAGGAGAGGCCUCGUGCCUGGGAGCCUCCUAACUACUCCCGGUCUUCAGCGGCCUCCACGUAGUAGUAGGCACCGUCGGGGUAGCAGUUGUCGUUGGCGGGAUACUCCAUCUCCUGGGCUCCAUCAUCUGGCCGCAACAAUGGAUCAAGGGGACAAAGGGGGAGCAAAGCAACGGUGAUUACUCAUCCAAAGUACUUAGAAGACUGACAUCAGAACUAUGCUAAGAAUGCAUCAGUAUCAAAGAAAGGGUUUAUAUACGGACUGACUGCAUCAAUGCAAGAAUAAAGAGAGAAGGCCUAGUCCUAUCGAAGACUAGCAUCUUGAGGGGUCUUGCAGCAAUAGACGAGAGCAGAACAGGUAACACAAUUAAUAGUCAUAUUGUUGCAGCAAUAAUUAAUAUUAGGUCAGGCCCAGAGAUUCUCGCUUGACUCCCUGCGAGGAAGCAAUCCUGGAGCAACUAUUCCAGUUAAGUAACAAUUGUAGUUGUAUAGGAUCAGGGCACAAGUCCAAGCGUCCUAUAACCGUGGACACAACUAUGUGAAUAGUUAAUUUUCAUCCGUGCAGGGGUGCACCAAGUUUGUCAUCAUGCUCGAUAACACUCUGGCCGUACACACUUUUCUAGAUCAUGCCCGACCUCGGAAUAUCGACACGCCGCAGAGAGGCCAACCCGCUGGUCUAAAUCCUAAGAGCGCAGGGGUCAUGUGACCAUCACCCUUUGCACUCCUGCACGAUGCGAGGGCGACCGAUGUCAGUCCUAGCACCCCUUAUUACAAGCGCGAUGCAUAUCGGGACCACUCGGGCGCACGCCGCUCCAUUGCUGACGUCUGAAGAGCUUCGACUGAUACCACGACGCCGAGUACCUAUAACUUUUCCCGCAUAGCCGGUUAGUGCGGAAAGGUCUUCGACCAACCCAGAUCAAAUACCCAAAUCCAUUAACAUUUUAAUUAACUCAUCGACACAUCCAUGCGGGAAUCCACCCGCCUAACAUUUAUUUAUCAAUGUUCCCAGUAACAUGGUCAAGUAACUGUGUGGUUGUAACAUCAGGGGGAUCCGAGGUAUCACCCUCGUUGGAUUCCGAACGAUGUAACCGUCAAGGUGGACUUAGAGGGAUCACCCUCGAGGGUCACACACUUGAGGGGUUGCACGAUAGAGUCAUCGUCGGGAAUGGUGAAGGAGGAAUCACCCUUGAUAACCACGACCGACUAGCUGCCCCUACACAGAUAUCAUCAUGAGUACUUCACGAGGUGUCACCCUCGGUACCCGAUAGUAGCUCUGCAGCAUCGUACAACUAAGGGGUGUGUAAGUGCUGUGUCGGGUCUUGGCUUGUCGAUCAGGGAUCGAGACUCGACAAUAAACAGGGCAACUGGACUAAGGGGUCAGAGGGGAUGACUGCUUCACCUAUACUAAACAAUUUAAAGGUGCGUACUGAAAGUAGCAGUUCAUCAAAAACAGGCUAUGUAUCAGAUAUAUGAGCUAACUACAACAAUAGUAAAAUACUAAUGCAAGCAUGAGGGAGAAAGAAUAGGCGAUAUAGGGAUGAUCAAGGGGGUUUGCUUGCCUUGCUGCUCUGCGGCAAAGGGCUGGUCGACAAGAGGGUAGUCGUACCUGACAACAGCGUCAGUCUCGGGGUCUACCGGUAAGAAGAGGGGGAAAGAAACAACAAAAUAUAACACCGAUGCAAACACUAAACAUGACAUGUCAAAGCAGGGUUAGGCAUGAGCUAACGAAGUGCUAUCCGUCAUAGAUGGGUCGGAAGAAUAUCUCACAAUAUUUCCCGGGUCUUUGACUACUACUUGUCAAACGAAACACGGUGGAAAUGUUCCACAUUUGAUAUGCUAGGGACGCGUGACAAAUGAAUGGACCGCGUGUCCGGAUUCGUCUCGUUCUGUUGAUCAACUUUCAUGUUCAAAUUAUUUUCAUCCGAGCUACAGAUUAUUUGAUAUUAAUUUUCAAAGAUUUAAUCAAUAUUCAGAAAUUAAAAGAGAUUAAAAUAAUUUAAUUAAAUGCAAUUAUGACAUCAGCAGUCAACAAGGUUUGACUGGUCAAACUGACCAAUGGACCCGUUGUCAUAGGCACAUUUAUUAUUAAGGUUAACUGAAUAUUAAUCCGAUUAAUUAAAAGGGGACGGGACCCACUUGUCAUACUAGCUUUAGGAUAAUUUAAUUAUCUAAUUAACAGAUUUACUUAAUUAUUCUAAUUACUCAUAAUCAUAUAUAAUUACCUAAUUAGUUAAUUAAUUACUUCAACUAUUUAUUUAUUUAUAUUAUAUGUUUUUUCAAACAUUUUACAUGGGUGGUCCCACGUGUAAGUGGCCCAUCGGCCACACCACACACACACCACACACACACUCUCUUGUAAACAAAAACACACACAUGCACCCAUAUGCACAUUUUUAUACUUACAUUCUCACAUAUUUAUAUGCAUAUACAUAUAUACAUACUGUUGGGGAAUGUUGCAUGAGAAACAAAAAAAUUUCUACGCACACCAAAACCUAUCAUGGUGAUGUUCAUCUACGAGAGGGAGAUUGGAUCCACAUACCCUUGUAGAUCGCUAAGCGGAAGCAUUAAUAAAUGCGGUUGAUGUAGUGGUACGUCUUCACGAUCCGUCUCACGAACCAUCCCACCAUCCGCCCCGAUCAAGUGCCGAACGGACGACACCUCCGCGUUCCACACACGUACAGCUCGAUGACGAUCUCCGCCUUCUUUAUCCAGCAAGAGGGGCGGGGAAGUAGAUGAGUUUUCUGGCAGCGUGAUGACGGGCCGGUGAUGGCGAUCAUCUAUUCCUGCAGGGCUCCGCCCGAGCUUCGCAGAAAACUGAUCUAGAGGAAGAAUUACGAACUAGAGGAGAGGGCAACACGUGGCAAAGUUGUGUCUCAAAAGCCCUAAACCUCUAGUAUAUAUAGGAGGAGGGGGGAGGCAGCCUUGGUGCGCCAAGGAAGGCCUCCUUGGAUCGGCCGAAGUGGGGAAGGGAGGAGUCCUCCUCCAAUCCCAUUUGGAUUAGGACUCCUUCCUUAUUUUCCCACCUCUUUUGGAUUUUCCACUUUUUCCUCAUGGGCUUUCCUUGGAUGACUUUGUCAGCCCAUUAUACCUUAUUGCACAUCCAAUAAAUCCACGUGGACCCCUUGGGGCAUGGUGGGCCCACCCAGUGGGCCCCCGGAACCCAUUCGUCACUCCCGGUACAGUGCGGGCAAUGCCCGAAAACCUUCCGGAAUCCAAACACCAACUUCCUAUAUAUCAAUCUUCAUUUCCGGACCAUUUCGGAACUCCUCGUGACGUCCAGGAUCUCAUCUCGGACUCCGAACAAAAAUUCGGUCACCAACACAUAUAACUCAACUAUUCCGAAACGUCACCGAACCUUAAGUGUGCAGACCUUGCGGGUUCGAGAACUAUGCAGACAUGACCUGAGACACUCUCUGGUCAAUAACCAACAACGGGACCUGGAUGUCCAUAUUGGUUUCUACAUAUUCUACGAACAUCUCUAUCGGUUGAACCUCUAUAUGAAGGAUUCAUAUAAUCCCGUAUACUAUUCCCUUUGUCCUUCGGUAUGUUACUUGCCCGAGAUUCGAUCGUCGGUAUCUCUAUACCUAGUUCAAUCUCGUUACCAGCAAGUCCCUUUACUCGUUCCAUAAUACAAGAUCCCGUAACUAACUCCUUAGUCACAUUGCUUGCAAGGCUUGUUGUGAUGUAUUACCGAGUGGGCCCCGAGAUAUCUCUCUGUCACACGGAGUGACAAAUCCCAGUCUUGAUCCAUGCCAACCCAACAGACACCUUUGGAGAUACCUGUAGAGCACCUUUAUAGUCACCCAAUAACGUUGCGACAUUUGAUACACACAAGGUAUUCCUCCGGUGUCCGGGAGUUGCAUGAUCUCGUGGUCAUAGGAACAGAUACAUUGACAUGCAAAAAACAGUAGCAAUAAACUGACACGGUCAUAUACUACGUUUAUAGUUUGGGUCUUGUCCAUCACAUCAUUCUCCCAAUGAUGUGAUCCCGUUAUCAAGUGACAACACUUGCCUAUGGCCAGGAAACCUUGACCAUCUUUGAUCAACGAACUAGUCAACUAGAGGCUCACUAGGGACAGUGUGUUGUCUAUGUAUCCACACAUGUAUUUGAGUUUCCAAUCAAUACAAUUCUAGAAUGGAUAAUAAACGAUUAUUAUGAACAAGGAAAUAUAAUAAUAACUAGUUUAUUAUUGCCUCUAGGGCAUAUUUCCAACAGUCUCCCACUUGCACUAGAGUCAAAAAUCUAGUUCACAUCACUAUGUGAUUGUAAUGGAUCUAACACCCAUACAGUACUGGUGUUCGAUCAUGUCUUGCUUGUGAGAGAGGUUUUAGUCAACGGCUCUCAACCUUUCAGAUCCGUGUGUGCUUUACAAAUCUUCAUGUCAUCUUAGAGAUGCUGCUACUACGUGCUAUUCGGAAAUAUUCCAAAUGUCUACUCUACUAUACGAAUCCGUUUUACUACUCAGAGUUAUUCGGAUUAGUGUCAAAGCUUGCAUCGACGUGACCCUUUACGACGAACUCUUUAACCACCUCCAUAAUCCAGAAAAAUUCCUUAGUCCAUUAGUUACUAAGGAUAACUUUGACCGCUGUUCAGUGAUUCAAUCCUGGAUCACUUUUUGUACCCCUUGACAGACUCAUGGCAAGGCACACAUCAGGUGCGGUACACAACAUGGCAUACUUUAGACCCUACGGCUAAGGCAUAGGGGACGACCUUCGUCCUUUCUCUUUCUUCUGCCGUGGUCGGGUUUUCAGUCUUACUCAAAUUCACACUUCACAACACAAUCAAGAACUCCUUCUUUGCUGAUUUAUUUUGAACUCCUUCAAAAACUUGUCAAGGCAUGAAUUUCAUUGAAAGUUCUAUUAAGCGUUUUGAUCUAUCUCUAUAUAUCUUGAUGCUCAAUGUUCGAGUAGCUCUAUUCAGGUUUUCCUUUAAAAACUCCUUCCAAACAACCCUUUAUGCUUUACAGAAAUUCUACAUUACUUCCGAUCAACAAUAUGUCAACCACAUAUACUUAUCAGAAAUUCUAUAGUGCUCCCACUCACUUCUUUGGAAAUACAAGUUUCUCAUGAACCUUGUAUAAACCCAAAAGCUUUGAUCAUCUCAUCAAAGUGUAUAUUCCAACUUCGAGAUGCUUGCACCAGUCCAUAGAAGGAUCGCUGGAGCUUGCAUACUUGUUAGCCUCCUUAGGAUUGACAAAACCUUCUGGUUAUAUCACAUACAACCUUUCCUCAAGGAAACCGUCGAGGAAACAAUGUUUUGACAUCCUAUGUGCAAUAUUUCAUAAAUAAUGCAACAACUGCUAACAUAAUUCCAACAGACUUUUAGUAUCGCUAUGAGUGAGAAAGUCUCAUCAUAGUCAACUCUUUGAACUUUUCGGAAACAUCUUUGCGAUAAGUCAAGCUUUUCUUAAUGGUGACUUUUCACCAUCAUCGUUUGUCUUCCUUUUAAAGAUCCAUCUUUACUUAAUAGUCUUACGACCAUCAAGUAGUUCUUCCAAAGUCUACACUUUGUUUUCAUACAUGAUCCUCUCUCGGAUUUCAUGGCCUCCAGCCAUUUGCCGGAAUCCGGGCCCACCAUCGCUUCUCCAUACCUUGUAGAUUCAUUGUUGUUCAAUAACAUGACCUCCAAGACAGGGUUACCGUACCACUCUGUAGUAGUACGCGACCUUGUCGACCUACGAGGUUUGUAGUAACUUGAUUCGAAGCUUAAUGUUGACCAUCAUCAGCUUCCACUUCAAUUGGUGCAGGCGUCACAGGAACAACUUAUCGCGCCCUGCUACACACUGGUUGAAGUGACGGUUCAAUAACCUCAUCAAGUUCCACCACCCUCCCAGUCAAUUCUUUCGAGAGAAACCUUUCCUCGAGAAAGGACCCGUUUCUAGAAACAAACACUUUGCUUCCGGAUCUGAGAUAGGAGAUGUACCCAACUGUUUUGGAUAUCCUAUGAAGAUGCAUUUAUCCGCUUUGGAUUUGAGCUUAUCAGACUGAAACUUUUUCAAAUAAGUGUCGUAGCCCCAAACUUUCAAGAAAUGACAACUCAGGUUUCUCCAAACCAUAGUUCAUACUGUGUCAUCUCAACGGAAAUACGCGGUGCCCUAUUUAAAGUGAAUGCAGUUGUCUCUAAUGCAUAACCCAUACACGAUAGUUGUAAUUCGAUAAGAGACAUCAUAGUAUGCACCAUAUCAAAUAGGGCGCGGCUAUAACGUUCAGACACACCAUCACACUAUGGUGUUCUAGGUGGCAUGAAUUGCAAAACAAUUUCCACAUUGUCUUAACUGUGUAACAAAACUCGCAACUCAGGUAUUCAUCUCUAUGAUCAUAUCGUAGAUAGUUUAUCCUCUUGUCACGAUGAUCUUCACUCUAAAAUAGAUUUGAACUUUUCAAUAUUUCAGACUUGUGAUUCAUAAAUACUCCUGUAUCUACCCAAAUUGUCAGUGAAGUAAGAACAUAACAAAAUCCACUGCAUGCCUCAGCACUCAUUGGACUGUACACAUAAAAAAUGUAUUACUUCCAAUAAGUUACUUUCUUGUUCCAUCUCACUGGAAAACGAGGCCUUCAGUCAUCUUGCCCAUGUGGUAUGAUUUUCAUGUCUCAAGUGAUUUAAAAUCAAGUGAGUCCAAACGAUCCAUCUGUAUGGAGUUUCUUCAUGCGUUAAUACCAAUAGGUGUGGUUUGCAUGUUUCAAAUGUUUCCAAAAUGAGUGAGUACAAAGAUCCAUCACUAUGGAGCUUCUUCAUGCAUUUUAUACCGACAUGACUCAAGCGGCAGUGCCACAAGUAAGUGGUACUAUCAUUACUACUUUGCAUCUUUUGGCAUCAAUAUUAUGAACAUGUGUAUCACUACGAUCGAGAUUCAAUAAACCAUUGAAGGUAAUUAUUCAAGCAAAUAGAAUAACCAUUAUUCUCUUUAAAUGAAUAAUCAUAUUGCAAUAAACACGAUCCAAUCAUGUUCAUGCUCAACACAAACACCAAAUAACAAUUAUUUAGGUUUAACACCAAUCCCGAUGGUAGAGGGAGCGUGCGAUGCUUGAUCACAUCAUCAUUAGAAUUACUUCCAACACACACCGUCACCUCACCCUUGCUAGUAUCCUUUUAAUUCGUAGCCAUAACUUAGAGUUGGUAACACUUAGCAACUGAACCGCUAUCUAAUACCCUGGUGCUAGUAGGAAUACUAGUAAGGUACACAUCAAUAUCAGGUAUAUCCAAUAUACUUUUAGCCGACUUUGCCAACCUUCUCAUCUACCAAGUAUCUAGGGUAGUUCCGCCUCAGUGACCGUUCCCCUCAUAACAAAAGCACUUAGUCUCGGGUUUGGAUUCAGCCCUGGGUUUCUUCAUUAGAGCAGCAACUAGUUUGCCGUUUCAUGAAGUAUCCCUUCUAGCCCUUGCCCUUCUUGAAACUAGUGGUUUUACUUACCAUCAACAAUUGACGCUCCUACUUGAUUUCUACGAUCGCAUUGUCAAACAUUGCGAAUCGCUCAAGGAUGAUCAUAUAUAUCCUUGAUAUGGUAUAGUUCACCACGAAGCUCUAGCAGCUUGGUGGCAGUGACUUUGGAGAACCAUCACUAUCUCAUCUGGAAGAUUAACUCCCACUUGAUUCAAGCGACUGUUGUACUCACACAAUCUGAGCACAUGCUAACCGGUUGAGCUUUUCUCCUUUACUUUGUAGACAAAGAAUCUUGUCGGAGAUCUCAUACCUCUCAACAAGGGAACGAGCAUGAAAUCCCAAUUUCAUUUCUUAGAACAUCUCUUAUGUUCCGUGACGUUCAAAAUGUCUCCGACGCCUUGCUUCUAAGCCGUUAAGUAUUACACACUGAACUAUCACGUAGUCAUAAAAAAUGUGUAUGUCGGAUGUUCGCAACAUCCACAGACGACACUCGAGGUGCAGCACACCGAGUGGUUUGCAACAUCACAUUAAGGACAUAAGCCUUCUAUGCAGCAAUGAGGACAAUCCUCAGUUUACAGACUUAGUCCGCAAAGUUGCUACUAUCAUGUUUCAACUAAAUUUUCUCUAGGAACAUAUAAAAACAAUAGAGCUACAGUGCAAGCUACAACAUAAUUCGCAAAGACCUUUUUGACUAUGUUCAUGAUAAUUGAGUUUAGUUAAUCAUAUUACUAAUAAAUCCCACUCAAAAUAUAUAUCCCUCUAGUCAUUUGAGUGGCGCAUGAUCCAAAUCCACUAACUCAAAUCCGAUCAUCACGUAAGUUGAGUAUAGUUUCAGUGGUGAACAUCUCCAUGUCGAUCAUAUCAACUAUAUGAUUCAUGCUCGACCUUUUGGUCUCUUGUGUUCCGAGGUCAUGUCUGUACAUGCUAGGCUCGUCAAGUUUAACCCAAGUGUUCCGCGUGUGCAACAAUUUUGUACCCGUUGUAUGUGAAUGUUGAGUCUAUCACACCCGAUCAUCACGUGGUGUCUCGAAACGACGAACUGUCGCAACGGUGCACAGUCAAGGAGAACACGAUUUUAUCUUGAAAUUUUAGUGAGGGAUCACCUUAUAAUGCUAACGUCGUUCUAUGCAAGAUAAGGUGCAUAAAAGGAUUAACAUCACAUGCAAGUCAUAAGUGACAUGAUAUGGCCAUGAUUUUGUGCUUCUUGAUCUCCAUCACCAAAGCACCGACAUGAUCUUCAUCGUCACCGACGCCACACCUUGAUCUCCAUCAUCGUGCCGCCAUCGAGGUUGUCAUGCUAUCUAUACUAUUACUACUAAAUCUACAACCUAGCAAUAUAGUAAACACAUCUGCAAACACAAACGUUAGUUUAAAGACAACCCUAUGGCUCCUACCGGUUGUCGUAGCAUCGACGUGCAAGUCGAUAUUUAACUAUUACAACACAAUCAUCUCAUACAUCCAAUAUAUCACAUCAUGUCUUUGGCCGUAUCACAUCACAAGCAUACCCUACAAAAACAAGUUAGACGUCCUCUAAUUUGUUGUUGCAUGUUUUACGUGACUCCUAUGGGUAUCUAGUAUGAUCGCAUCUUACUUACGCAAAAACCAUAAUGGAGAUGUGCGAAUUGCUAUUUAACCUCUCUACAAGGACCGCCUCGGUCAAAACCAAUUCAACUGAAGUUGAAGAAACAAACACCCGCCAGUCAUCUUUAUGCAACGAGUUGCAUGUUAGUCGAUGAAACCAGUCUCUCGUAAGCGUACGCGUAAUGUUGGUCUGGGCCGCUUUAAUCCAACAAUACCGUCGAAUCGAGAAAAUACUAAGAAGGGCAGAAAAUCGAACAUCAACGCCCACAAAAACUUUUGUGUUCUACUCGAGAUUACAUCUACGCAUGAACCUAGCUCUGAUACCGCUGUUGGGGAACGUUGCGUGGGAAACAAAAAAUUUCCUACGCACACGAAGACCUAUCAUGGUGAUGUUCAUCUACGAGAGGGAGAUUGGAUCAACAUACCCUUGUAGAUCGCUAAGUGGAAGCAUUAAUAAAUGCGGUUGAUGUAGUGGUAUGUCUUCACGAUUCGUCCCACGAACCGUCCCACGAUCUGUCCCGAUCAAGUGCCAAAUGGACGACACCUCCGCGUUCCACACACGUACUGCUCGAUGACGAUAUCUGCCUUCUUGAUCCAGCAAGAUUGGCGGGGAAGUAGAUGAGUUCUCCGGCAGCGUGUCAGUGCGCCGGUGAUGGUGAUGAUCUAUUGCUGCAGGGCUUCGCCCGAGCUCCGCAGAAAACCGAUCUAGAGGAAGAACUACGAACUAGAGGAGAGGGCAGCACGUGGCAAAGUUGUGUCUCAAAAGCCCAAAACCUCUAGUAUAUAUAGGAGGAUGGGGGAGGCAGACUUGGUGCGCCAAGGAAGGCCUCCUUGGGUCGGCGAAGUGGGGAAGGGAGGAGUCCUCCUCCAAUCUCACUUGGAUUAGGUCUCCUUCCUUAUUUUCCCACCUCUUUUGGAUUUUCCACUUUUUCCUCAUGGGCUUUCCUUGGAUGACUUUGUCAGCCCAUUAUACCUUAUUGCGUAUCCAAUAAACGCACGUGGACCCCUUGGGGGCAUGGUGGGCCCACCCAGUGGGCCCCCGGAACCCAUUCGUCACUCCCGGUACACUGCGGGCAAUGCCCGAAAACCUUCCGGAAUCCAAACACCAACUUCCUAUAUAUCAAUCUUCAUUUCGAGACCAUUCCAGAACUCCUCGUGAUGUCCAAGAUUUCAUCCAGGAGUCCGAACAAAACUUCGGUCACCAACACAUAUAACUCAACUAUACCAAAACGUCACCAAACCUUAAGUGUGCAGACCCUGCGGGUUCGAGAACUAUGCAGACAUGACCUGAGACACUCUCUGGUCAAUAACCAACAGCGGGACCUGGAUGUCCACAUUGGUUCCUACAUAUUCUACGAAGAUCUCUAUCGGUUGAACCUCUAUGUCAAGGAUUCAUAUAGCCAUGUAUACUGUUCCAUUUGUCCUUCGGUAUGUUACUUGCCCGAGAUUCGAUCGUCGGUAUCUCUAUACCUAGUUCAAUCUCGUUAGCAGCAAGUCUCUUUACUUGUUCCGUAACACAAGAUCCUAUAACUAACUCCUUAGUCACAUUGCUUGCAAGGCUUGUUGUGAUGUUGCAUUACCGAGUGAGCCCCAAGAUACCUCUCCGUCACACGGAGUGACAANAGGGCAUAUUUCCAACACAUACAUACAGACUUAUACAUAAAUACAUACAAUUUUGUUCUUUUUUCUUUGUUCUUUCCUCUCUCUCUUAACUUAGUGUAGGUAACUCCUCCUCCUCCUCCUNNNNNNNNNNNNNNNNNNNNNNNNNNNNNNNNNNNNNNNNNNNNNNNNNNNNNNNNNNNNNNNNNNNNNNNNNNNNNNNNNNNNNNNNNNNNNNNNNNNNNNNNNNNNNNNNNNNNNNNNNNNNNNNNNNNNNNNNNNNNNNNNNNNNCUCCUCCUCCUCCUCUUCGCAAGGAGGAGGGAAAUUGGCGUCGGGGCGAGGCGGAGGUCAUCGGAGAGGGAGAAGGAAGGAAGGGGUUGUUCUCACCCACGUGUAGAGGAAGACGCGGCUCGAUGAAGAUUUGGCGGAGGGAGGGGCGCCGACGUCGAGGUGGUGGAGAAGGAGGCCGACGGAUCCGGCGAGGAGAAGCCCGGGGCGGGGCAAGGCGGCGUCGGUGGCGCGGCCCCGGUGCGGCUCCGGCGCGGGGCCGCUCCGGUUGGGGGAGGGGAAUUCGGAGUGUAUCCGGUGCGGUGGGGAACAGAGAGGGCGACGAGUGAGAGAGUCGCGAUGCGUCCGGUGGGUGAUGUCGCGGCGGCGGGGCGGGCCGGCGCGGUGGUGAGGGAAGGGAGCAGGGCGAGCGGGUGAUGGAGAAGAUGCCGGUGCUGGUGGGUAGCACUGGUGAGGGCCGGCACAACAAGGAGUGGGGUGCUCGAGGGAGGAGGCGAGCGGGGCGUGCGCACGAGGGGCAGGGGGUUCUGCGCUGGGGAGAGACGAGGGGAGANNNNNNNNNNNNNNNNNNNNNNNNNNNNNNNNNNNNNNNNNNNNNNNNNNNNNNNNNNNNNNNNNNNNNNNNNNNNNNNNNNNNNNNNNNNNNNNNNNNNNNNNNNNNNNNNNNNNNNNNNNNNNNNNNNNNNNNNNNNNNNNNNNNNNNNNNNNNNNNNNNNNNNNNNNNNGGGGGGGGGGGGGGGGUCAUGCGAGGUAGUGAGGUGGGGUGAUGAGGGGAAUCAGGGGAGACCGAGGGAGAUCGAGCGGUUGGUGGGACGAGGGAGGAGGGAUCCCCUCGUGGGAAAGGUGGGUGCGGUGGGACGAGGGGGUGGCUGGCGGCGUGGGGUGGAGUGGGGAGAGGCAUCGGUUUGGGCUAGGAUUCUACGGGGUUUUAUACCCCCUCACCGAGGUGGGCUAGUGUGUGGCCGGCUGGGCCGGUUGGCCGAGUUGGGCUGGGGCUUUUUGUUUUGUUUUGUUUUUUAAUUUAUUACCAUUUCUAGUUUUAAUUUAUUUUAGUGCAAUAAAUACUUCUAAAAUUAACGAUUCCUAAAUGACAAUUCUCCUAGGUAAUAUUUGACACACUCUAACAUUUUUAUUUCUGCGUUCAAAAACUUUUAUCGUUUGACUGUAUUUUUAAUUUUGAAUUUGACUUGGUUUUGAACUAGCGCGAGAUUAACGAUAGUAAUCACGGUGACCUGGCAUCAUUAGCGUGGGAUCACUGUAGCUUAAUUCCAUACAACAUUGUAGCAAAAGCUGAGGAUGUCACAACUCUCCCCUACUAAUAAGAAUUCUCGUCCCGAGAAUUAAGAGGUAGAAGGAAAGAGCUCGGGGUAUUCGUCAUGAAUAAUGCGGACUUAAUCGUCAACAUGUUGGAUAAUAUCCGGACAAAAGAGUGACUAGUCCAUUGAACGUUGGCUCGGGAAUUUCAUACGAAGCCAAGUGCAAAGGAUACUUUGGAGUCAAAAGAUGUACAUGAGAGUCAGGUUUCGAUCCUGUGGAACUUUGGGUUAUGGGUCUACCAUGUGGGCCGAGAGUAGGCAGAAGGGUGACAUCUUGUACGGUAUUGGUAGCAAGACAUGUUAGAGGAUAACCUCUCAGUUAUGUUGGAAAUGACAUCGGCACUAAGGGCGGGGAACGAAUAGAACAAUUUUCCUGCUCGCUGAAACGAGGCGGACCAAUAGGAAAAGUUCUCGUCCACCGACAACCACCAGCAUGUUAUUGUGACAGCCCGAUCCCGACGUUCCAGAAGAUUCCCCUUCUAUUCCGUUUUCGUCGUGUGUCUAUUUUCUUUUGUCGCAUCAUCAUCGCAUCAUGCGCAUCAUCAACAUUGCAUCGGCGUUCCGUUGCCGCCAGUUUUCAAACUUACAUCCGUUGUUAGUUGCCGGUUCUCGUCGUUGUCUGUUCUGAGCCCGACCGCACUCGCACACGCCCACGACAUCGUUUAAAUCUUGUUUUAAAAAGUGUGCGUAAAACUUUCUCUGAUUGGGUUGUGAUUUGACGUGCGAUCUUAUUUUAAUAUAGCUAGGCCGCCUGUCGAAUUUCGUCGCGAUCGGAGUCCGUCUGGUACCCGAACGGUCGACCGUAGCGGUACCGUAUUCGGUCUACCGUCAGACGAUUGUCGGUGUUUUAAAAAUACGUUGUCGGGUGCCUAUUUUCCCUCUCAUCUCCGCCUAGCCCCUCUGCACAGUGCAUCGAGCCUGCGCGCAGCCCAUUCCGAAAAUCUCCCGGAACCCGUACCGGGCGGUCGUGACCGUUGGAUCCGGAUCAACCCCGUUUUACCGUAAAUCGUCAUCGGUUUGUCCAUUGCACUCCCGAACCUAAUUAUCUCGACCAUCUGAUCUAAAUCGGAGGGUCCAGAUGCCCCUAUACCUAACCCACUAGCUAAAUAGACUACCCUAGCUCAAUUAGACCGAAACCCUGAAAAUUCUCCCCCUGUCCCUUCAGUGCCGCCGCCGCACACCACCUGGUCUCCUUCCUCGUUUUCCUCCACUUCCCAAUCAGGCACCAGAUCCAUUCCCUAGUUUUCCCCUCGAGGCAGCGAGCAGCGAGUGCGAGCCCUGCAGACAGCCGUCGUGUCCUUCGGCGCGCCCCCGUGCCGACAGUCGCCCUCGGGAGCCUCGCCUCCUUCCCGCGAUCUGGAUCGGGAGUCCUGAUCGGCAGGCGUGACCGAGCCGCCCCGCGCCGAUCAGGUGGACCCGCUCCAGCCGCCAGUCGUGGCCUCGCCUCGGUGCGAUGGAAACGAGGCAGCGAGUGCCUCGGCGCCGAGCCCCCCUGUUGACCGCGCGCAGCCCGCCAGCGGUCGUGACGUCGCUCCGUCGGCCUCGCCGCACUGGGCCUCGCCCCGGCCCAGAGCGCCAACAGCCGGCCCAGGCUCCUCCGCCCCGAGGCCACCUCUCCUCCGCCUCGGCCCAAGCCGCAUCGCCCCCAACACCACUUCCUCCAGAUCCGGCUCGAAGGCCGUGUGGUGAGAUCCCCUUUUUCCCUCCCUCUAUUUCCCGCCUAGGCAUUUUUUCUAUUAUCAUGCGCCCCCUGUCCGGCCCGUUAAAUAUUUAGGUCAAUUUUCGGAAUUAUCUAAAUUCCAGAAAAAUAGACGAUUUUAGAACGUUCGUAACUUUUAACCGUAAGUCAGAUCGAGUCGUGUUGUAUAUGGUUUUCGUGUAGAAUUUCGCGUAGAAUCCGAGUUUAUAACUUGCAUAUUUUUUUGACGUUGUUUGACGUGUCGAAUGCAUAGAUUUACGUGCUGUUCCAAUCGGAUCCGUUCCGUAGUUAUUUCUCAUGUGUGUCCGGGUUGCUCGAAUGCCGUAGAUUAAAUGUCCAUGUUUUAGGAACCCUCUUGCCAUGUAUGUUAGAGCGGUCAUUGGUAUUUUGCAUGUAGGGUUUAGUCGCUAGUUUAUUUUUAGCGCUUAGGACAUUAUCUCGCAUUUACGUGUGGUGAAAUUAUUGUUGUGCAACCCCACAUGUUUUAUAUGUUUUCGGGGUAGAAAAAUCCUGGAUUUUUCUGUGUAAUUAGUUUUAGCUUUAGAGAAAGUUAGUUUGCGCGAUAUUUCGCCAUGUUGCUCACUAGUUUAUUUCGUAGGAUUUAUUUCGUACUUCGUUUGAAGGAGUUGUCAACUAGAGAGUUGCCCUUUGAUGUUUAGUCUAGCCCCUGAUAUUUUUGGUUGCAAAAGAAAUCCAUGUUUAGGUGCGGUUUGCUUGAUCUUUACUUGCUAGGAAAUAGUGAUGUUUUAGAGAUGCUGAAAUAUUUCUAAGUCUGAAUCUGUUAUAUUUUGUUGCUGUCUUGUCUUGCUUCUAUCUUGUGAUCUGUAGCUCUUUUGAGGUUGGUCCAAUGGAGUUAGUUGUAGACUUUGGAUUUCUCUAGCAUGCUGUGAAUUUUCAUGCCAUUUGGAGUCCUGUAGCUUAUGGUUUUGCUUCUUUCAAUAUGCCUUCAGAUCGAAAACUGCAGCUUCAUAAACUGCUAUUUUCACUAAGUCUGAAACUGUGUGUGAGAAGCCAUUUUGUGACUUCUUUUCCUAGUGAUCUAUGCUCCCAUGCUAGUUGUUGUUAGUUGUAUGUCGUAGUGCUUCUUUCCCUCUUUCGUGUCAUGCCUUGGUUGAGUUUAUUGGACAUGUGUAGCUGGUAGUUGUGGGGUGUAGAAAUGCUAUGUGGCUGAUUUUUGCAGAUUGUAGUGAUUUCUUGUUUUGCUCGUAGUUGUUGAACCGUAGCUCCGAUUUGAUCGUGUCCUAUAUGAAACUUGCUUAGAAUCUCGUGUAGUUUCAUUUUCUCUUGCUGGUUGUAUGAUUUAGGUGCUCGUGACAGUCGUUGCACACAUAUUGCAUUCAUGCAAUCAUAUCUUGCGUUGUCCGUAUCUUUUGAUCCGUAGCUCCGUUGGAGAGGUUCUCUAUGUGUAAAUUGCUUGUGAAGACGCGUAGAAUCACGUGAACCUAUUUGUUUUGCUGUUUAACAACUAAUUAAAGGUGUUAGUUCAGAUCUGGACAGAAUUGUAAAUUAACAUGUGAUGUCGUCUCGGAGAAGCUAUAUGUCAUUUCCGACCUCAUUUAAAAUGCCUAGAUAUUUAGAUUAAUGGCGCUUCACCUCUUGUCAUGUUUAAUCACAUUUUAUAUUGCCGAGUACCUAAUUGGGAUAAAACUAAAUAACCUCUAUGUGGAGUUUCCUCAAUAUGCAACUCGUUGCAUAUUGAACUUCACUUAAUGUGUAGUGUUUGAUUGUGUGAUUUGUCAUGCCGUGCCUUGCAUGCAUUCAGUUGCCGUGACAGCCCGAGACCGACGCCCCAGAAGAUUGCCCCUUCUUUCCGUUUGUUAGUUGUUAAAUAGUGUGUUAGUUGCCGGUUCUCGUCGUUAGUUGAGCCCGACUGCACACGCACGCGCCCGCGGCACCGUCGAAACCCUGUUUUAAAAAGUGUAUUGAAAACUUUCUCUGAUUCGGUUGAGAUUUGGCGUGCGGUCUUAUUUUGAUAUAGGUAGGCCGCCUGUCAAGUUUCGUCGCAAUCGAAGUCCGUGUGGUACCCGAACGGUCGACCGUAGCGGCACCGUAUUCGAUCUAUCGUCGGACGUCUAUCGGUGUUUUAAAAUACGUUGCCGGGUCGCCCGUCUUCCCUCUCAUCUUAGCCAACGUCACUCUACAUAGCUAACCCUAACCCGCCUCUCCGAUCGGACCGCACGAUCACGAUCGGAGGGUCGAAAAACCCCCACAUGCCCUCCAUCCUAGCCCCCUUCCUAUAAAAGAAGCCCUCCCUGCCAUUCUAGGCAAACCCAAGCGGUUGCCUCGAAUCCCGUGCCUAUCAACCGGAUCCAGCCGCCACCCCAGCGCCUGUGCCUCUCUCCUCCCCACCGACAAGGCCCGCCAGGCCCACGGCUGGCCCGCCGGGCCCGGAUCCGCGCCACCGCCUGGAGGCGAGCCUCCCUCCUCCCGAGGUUGCUGCAGUGUGCUGCGCCACCCCGCCGCCUGCUCUCUGCACCGCACCUUGUCCCGAGCCCCGAUGCCGGCAGCUGCUCGCCGUAGCACCUCCGCCGGCCGAAGUCGUCUCCCUCGGCCUUCCCAUUCAGUUCUGCCGCCGGCCGCACCAGCCGCCGCCCCUCGGCCUUCCCUUCCAGAUCCUGAAGUGUCCUUCACCGCCCCGACCUGGCCUUGCCAGAUCCAGCCGCCGGGAGCCCGUUCCCGCAUCGCCGUCUCCGCUCACGUGAGCGCAGCCGCCGCUGCCUACCAGCUCGAGCGAGGGGGGGGGGGACCAGACCGAUGCCCCGUGCCCUAGCUGCUGCUGGGCCGCGCAGGAACCUCCUAGUCGGCCCGACCGCCUCAGCCCUGCGCGCCCGGCGUGCAACCUCCUCGCCGCUUGGGAAUCCUCUUGCCUCGGCCCAGUUAGUUCUCCCUCCAGGCCGGCCCAGGUAUAGCCCCGCUGUCACGCCCAAGAUGCGACCCUAUCCUCAAUUUGGCACGAAAGCCUCGUCAGGGAUAGAAGCGCAUCUCGUCGUGUCGCAAGAAUGGAUAUCGUUACAAGUACAUGUACUGAAAAGAUGAGAUAUAUAUUUAGAAUUGGCUUACAAUCGCCACAAGCUACAUCGGAGUCACAACAGUACAGUACAUAUUCAUCAAGAGUAAGAGCAGGGUCCAACUACGGACGAAAACAAACGACAAAAGAAGAACGAGGUCCAUCCUUGCUAUCCCAGGCCGCCGGCCUGGAACCCAUCCUAGAUUGACGACGAAGAAGAAGAAGAAGAAGCAACUUCAAAUGAACAAUCAACGCGCUCGCGUCAAGUAACCUUUACCUGUACCUGCAACUGGUGUUGUAGUAAUCUAUGAGCCACAGGUGACUCAGCAAUCUCAUUUCCAAAGGUAUCAAGAUUAGCAAAGCUUAAUUGGUGAGGCAUGGUUAAGUGGUGAGGUUGCAGCAGCGGCCAAGCAUAUAUUUCGUGGCUAAACUUACGAGUACAAGAAUAAAGAGGGGGAUGCUCUACGCAUAACGGACGUGACUACUGAUGAUCAAAUGAAUGAUCCUGAACACCUACCUACGUCAGACAUAACCCCAACGUGUCCUUGCUCGGAGAAAGAACUCAUGAAAGAGACAGUCACGGUUACACACACAAUUGGCAUAUUUUAAUUAAGUUAACUUCAAGUUAUCUAGAACCAGUGUUAAACAAAGUUUCCACGUUGCCAUAUAACCGCGGGCACGGCUUUCCGAAAGAUUUAACCCCGCAGGGGUGCUCCAACUAGUCCAUCACAAAUUACCACAAGCCGCAUAGAAAUCCUCAAUCACGAAGCUCGCGAUCUCGUCGGAUUCCUUAGUGGAAAACCUCAACUCUGAGAUUACCCAAAGCAUCACGGGAAUCCCGAUGCACAAGAUAUUUCGUCUAAGGUAAAACUAAUCCAGCAAGGCCGCCCGACGUGUCGACGAACCCGAUAGGAGCCGCGUAUCUCGUUCUCAGGACACGACGGAUGGGUCACACUAGGAGAACCAAACCUCGGGUUGCCCCGCAGUGGCCCCGUAGUCUGCUAGUUUGGACCAACACUCAUGAGGAGCACUGGCCCGGGGGUUGAUUAAAUUUCCUCGGGUGCCGGCUGGUCCCUAUGCAUUAUUAUGUGAUUAGGCAAAUGUAGUACCAAAGUUGGGCCUUGCCAGACCAGUAUUAAUCUAAAACGAAUUAUCAAGGGGGUCCCCAUAAAAACCCCGAUCGUGUUAGGAGCGCUCAAUUAUGGAACAUAACACCGGUAGCCGAAAACUAAGGGGGCAAAGGUGGAACAAAACACCAGGCUAGAAAGGCCGAGCCUUCCACCUUUUACCAAGUAUAUAGGUGCAUUAAGUUAAAUAACAUUUAAUAUGGUGAUAUAACAAGGAACCCAUGUUAUCACAUGGAAGCAACUGCACCUGCAACUAGCAACGCUAACACAGGGUUAAGCAAGCAGUAACAUAGCCAAUCAGUGGUUUGCUAGGUUGAACAGGUUGAAGGUUUUCAUGGCAUUGUUGAGAGGCUGAUAUUUAACAUGUGGUAGGCAACGAGACAUAAUCGAUAGAAGCGAUAUAACUAGCAUGGCAAUGAUAGUAAUGGUAUCUGGGAAAAUGGUCAUCUUGCCUGAGAUCCCGCUUGGAAGAAGAAUGCCUUGAAGCAGUCGAACCGAUGUAGUCGAACGGGUCCUCACAAUCCGACACGCUUGCGAAACUCUAUCGAGACGGAGGAAACCGGAAACAAGCAUCAACACAGAUAUUCACCACACAAUGCACAACACAUAUGAUGCAUGAGCAGCUGAAUACAUGCAAGACACGGCAUGACAAUUCACACAAAGAGACACUACACAUUAAGUGAAGUUCAAUACGCAACGAGUUGCAUAUUGACGAAACUCCACGUUUAAUAUUUAGUUCAUUCCUGUUUAUUAACACGGCAAUAUUAAAAUGUUGUUAACAUGGCACGGGGUGAAGCACAAAUUAAUCUAUUGCUAGGCAUUUUAAAUGAGGUCGGAAACGUCAUAUAGCAUCUCCGAAAUGACCCCACGCGUUAAAUUCUAAUUCUGUCCAGAUUUGUCCUAAUCACAUUUUAUGUUUGUUAAACGGAGAAACAAAGUGGUUCAUGUGAUUCUACUCGUCGUUCUGCUCCAUUUACAUAUAUGGCACAUCUCCAACGGGGUUACGGUAUAAAAGAUACGGGCAACACAAAACAUAAUAAGGAUGCAACAUGCAUGCAAAACAAAAUACAUAGAUGAAUAUAAAAGAGAGGCCAUGGGAAUUUGAUCCUUCGACCUCCAAGAUUCAAACCAAAGUGCUAACCAACUAGGCUAGCUACUGGUAAUGACAAGUGUUCAGUGUCUCAUGGGCACACAAAAAAAAUAAUAGAUAAAACCCCCAGCAAAAACAGUGUGUAGUCUAGGAUUUGAACCUUAGACCUCAUACAUAAGCCCACACCUAGAUAACCAGCUAGUCUACAAUAGAAAGCUGUCAAUAGAUAAGUUUGGGCCAAUAUAAUCAAUCCAUACCAAACUUGUCACGCCCAAGAUGCGACCCUAUCCUCAAUUUGGCACGAAAGCCUCGUCAGGGAUAGAAGCGCAUCUCGUCGUGUCGCAAGAAUGGAUAUCGUUACAAGUACAUGUACUGAAAAUCUAACACCUGCGUGCUAAAAAAACAAAGAAAACAUAUUGGAGGCGCCAGGGAUUGAACCCAGGACCUCCUGGACAGGGAGUGGGAUAACAACCACUCGGAUACUUAUAUGCUUGUGAAUAAAUCUAGUGCCCAUGCUAUAUAACCUAUCCAAACCAAAACGGAUCUGGCCAAAAAAAUCUAAAUUCCCGUCACGAACGGGCUUGCUCACAGCAAGGGAAACAGAGGCCUUAGCCAUGGCGAUUCAGAGGUGGGCGAGGGAGGCCAUGAAGGAGGGCGGCAUUGGGUACCUGCUGGUCGGGAACGGCGGGGACAGGGUCCCAUGAUGGAGGCGCCUGGUCCAGCUCCGGUCAGCCAUGGAUGGGCAACCCCUGCACCUGUAGAUAGAAGGGAGAACGAGGCAUGAGGGAGAGAAGAGAGAACGGGAGGAGCAGGGGAAGAAGGAAAAACGGGGAAGAAGGAAGCAUGGCGUGACGGAUCUGGACAAGGGGUUCCAUUCCCGCCAACAAGGUGGCUUGCACGAUGCUGCAACUCCAGCUGUGGAGAAUCUCCAUGGGGUGGCUCGGCUGCUCCUGCAGGAGUUGCUGCUGCAAGACAUAGAGAGAGAUGAGACGAGGGAGAGAGAUGGGAGGAAGGAGAGCAUGGCAUGGGGAUCGGGGUCGAACCAGGUAGGUGCCGGCGGCGGCCUCGGGAUGCUCCGGCGGGGCGUGCUCCGGCAAGGGGCUAGGGCGGCGCGGCUGGAGGAGCUACUGGUUUCGGGCACGAGCUGCUGGGGCGAACGAAGGAGCUGGUGCGGGGCGCUGGUGGCUGUCUUGGAUCGAACGGGAGAGGAGAUGGGGAUCAGGCAGAGCUGCUGGGCUAGAGACAAAGAUUUGAUGUUGUGGUCACACAGUUGACGAGGUGAUGCCCAAAGCAUUGCAUGGUUACUAUUCAUUUAAAGGGGCCGAUAGACGGAAUGACCAGAAUGUUGGACAACAACCUCAGAGCAUGUACGGGAAUCAGUCAAAGGAUUAGCCUGCCGUGAACAAUAUCUUUCUACCAGAACCUCCGUCAGUCAAGUCAGCAUAAUAAACGGGUGGAAGUCAGAGUAACAUAUGAGGAUCCAGUGAAACAAACCUCCUCUAAGCCACGCAGUGAGUAAGAUAACCGAGCAGGAGCAUCAUACCAAGGCAAAAAGGAAACCCGAGUUGGAAACGGUUUCUUCAAGUGGGGAUAUUCAUGCUUGAAUCCUGAGCAACCAAAUCUCAAGGACGAGAUUUUUUAAGGGGGGUAGGUUUGUAACACCCUGGAUUUUUCCCAUUUCUUUUUCAUUUGAUUUUGGUCUGGAUUUGCUUUACUGUGGCUUGGUAGUUUUGGAACCUAAAGGGAUCACGCUUGAUUUCUCUUCCCUAGUGACUUGCCAACCUCCAAACCAUCCCAAGACCUUGUCAUCUCCAUCUUGGACUAAUCGCAAUAAUAUUUUCCCUGGGAAUAUUCAUUUUCUAUUUAAGGAAUAACCCUGUUGCCUCGGGUUGUGAAGCAACCAACAUUUCUAUCAUUCCAAAAAUUCCCAAAUAAUUCUUAUAAAUCUCUUGGGUUAUAUCUUCCUAAGAUAUGCGAAAUCCUUCCUUGCCAUGUUCCAAAAUAUUCCUCAAAUAUUCCUUUUCUGAUUCUGCCCUAGCUGUCAAGUUGUGAAGCAAGUACCAUUUUAUGUGCUUUCUUGCUCUCAAACUUUGUGGACACUCUUUCCUAUCCAUAAUCAUUGCCUCAUGCCAAAAUUCAACCUCAUUUGGCUAGUGAAUAUUUCUUGGAAAUUUUCCAAAGUUUCUGAUCCACACGAAGCUUUGGGAAACAAGUGCUAGCUAGGAGUAUGCAAAUGAGUUGCAAUUUUUCCAUGAUCUCUAUAUGCUCAAAUCAGGACUCUCCACAAAUUUGGGCAUCACCUCGUCAACUGUGUGACCACAGCAUCAAAUCUUUGUUUCUAGUCAUUAUUUUAGAUUGGGCUAGCGGGGGUAGGUGGGCCUUGGGCCGACUGGGCUAGGAUUAGGAUAGGCUUUGAUCCGGAUUUGCAUAAAAAACACUAUUACCAAGAUGGUCUAAUCGGACCUCCGAUCUAAAUCGAACGGUUGCGUAAAAAUAGACUAGGGGUCCUAUUGAAAAACAAAUGACGAUUUGCGGGAAAAGCGGGGUUGAUUCGGAUCCAACGUCACGACCGCCCGGUUCGAGUUCCAGGAGGUUUUCACGCUUGGUUGCGGCAAACUCAGAGCAUUGUGUAGAGGGGCUAGGUAGUGAUGAGAGGGAAAACGGGCGCCCGACAACUAUUUUAAAACACCGACAAACGUCCGACGAUAGACCGAAUACGGCGCCACUACGGUCGACCGUUCGGGUACCAGACGAGCUACGAUCGCGACGAAAUUCGACAGGCGGCCUGGCUAUAACUAAUCACGACCGCAUGCCAAGUUUCACCUCGAUCAGAGAAAGUUUUCAACACACUUUUAAAACAGGGUUUCGACGAUGCCCCGGGCGCGUGCGGGUGCGGUCGGGCUCAGAAUGGACAACGACGAGAACCGGCAACUAACGACGGAUGCAACUUUUGAAAACUGGCGGCAACGGGUUGCCGAUGCAAUGCUGAUGAUGCGCAUGAUGCGAUGAUGAUGCAACAAAUAAAAAUAACCACACGACGAAAACGGAAUAGAAGGGGAAUCUUCUGGGGCAUCGGGAUCGGGCUGUCACAACUCUCCUACACUAUAAGAGGAUCUCGCCCCGAGAUCCAAGAAUGAAAGGGGGAGAGGAUGAGAAAGAACAAGAGGUAAAAACUUAGUCGCUUCUUUGACAAACGAGUGAAACCAACGAUCUUUGAGGUUACAAAGAGAUGAGGAAUGACAUGAGAAACAAGCAAGAAUUCACGGAAAAUUUCGGCAGCACUUCGGUAGGAAAAAGGGACAAAAAAUUCGAUAAGAUGGGAGAAAUAGACAAUAUUCAUAACAAACAACUAAAUAGAACAAGGGAAUGCCAUGAUCUUCAUAGAACAACAUGAUAGACCCAAAACAGCAACAUCACAAAACCUCCGGAACAAUUGAAUAGGAACUAGCUCAUACGGAAGAGAGAAAUGAAGAAAAGAAUGACAACUACUAACUCCAACGAACUUGUCAAGCAUCCUUGCAAGAAGAAUUGAACGAAGUUGUUGGAAAAACAACAACGAAAAGAACACGAUAGUAGUGGGCUUAUGGGAACCUUACAAACUAAUGAAGUGACAACCAGCCACUAACAGAAACAAGGACUGAUUGGGAGAAACAAGAUAUGAACAAUUUCUUACACCAAGAGGAUACAUUGAGAACUUGGAUUAAUGACAAGCACCAUGAUAGCAACAAUCCAUAGGAAAAGCUUUCGGUGAAAUCCAAACCAAGAUAGCUCAAUGAAGAAAUCAUGGGUUGAAAAUAUCUCAUGAUCAUAGAAUUGGUGGAUUUAAUUAUCUCAUUCUUGAAAGGAAAUCUCUUCGAGGCUCCUACACUAACAAGAGUGCUAUAGUACCACCUCAAAUGAUAAGGAAGAACAAAUGCACUUGGAAAUGCAAGAGAAAGAACACUUGAGGUACUCCAACAGGAAUGUUGAAGAACACUUGAGAAUGAAUCACAUCCUUGAAGAACCACCAUGACGAACCUCCGUAUCAAAAGGAUGAUGCAAAGAUAAGAAGGAUGAAAGAAUAAGAUUGAAGCCUUGCAAAGACUUCGAUGAAGCUUCACGAAGAGAUACUUGAGAAAACUUGGAACUCCGGAAAAGAAAGAUAAGAACACUUGAGAAAAAGGAAUUGAUAUAAUGAGCCACUCCGGAAGAAGAAUUGAAAUCUCUUGGAAGAAGGAAGAACAAGAAUAAGAAUUAUGUUAUGCUCAUCCUUCAUCAAAUUAAAUUGAUGACAAGCAACGGAUUUAGCAUACAACUUAUUCUUCUUGAAAAGAUUGAGGAUAGAUAUGAGCACAAACUAGAAGAAGUCUUGAAGGAGACACCGAUGAGAAUUGAAAUAAUGAGGCAACCAUGAAUGGAUGGAGAUACAUGAGAAUGAAGAGAUCAUGAGCCACCUGAGAGAAAACUAGGACAAGGCACCAUAAUAAACGGGAGACGAACGAAGAGAUAACAAUGGAGAAGAAUUUGAGAAUGAAAGCUGCAAGCUGAGAAUGAAGAAGUCUUCUAAAAUGAUGGCCUUCGGAGGAUCGAGAAUGAAAACAACUCACAAAAGCACCGGAUAGCAAGAAAAGGGAUUACUCUUGAUUGGAACAAUUAAGAUGAUGGCAACAAGAUGAAAUGAUGAAUAUCCAAGAGAAUAGACCAAUAUUUGAGAGAAAACACUCCUUCACAUUGGAAGCUGAGAAUGAUGACGAGAAACAACACCACGAAUAACUGAGACACUUCGAAAUAAAGAAGAAUGCAAGGUUGAGCCAAAUAUGAGAAUUAAUUCCAAUAGGCCUUGGAGAAGGGAUAUGACUGAUGAAUUCAUACUUAUGUCAUAGUUGAAAAGAAUUAAAGAACUCCGGAAAGAUUACAGAGCUAUAUAAGAUCCUGGGAAAGACCUGUGGGGUAUGGGCCCACUCAAACAAAUCACCGUUGAAAAGAUUACUAGAACGGGAGAUAUUGCACUGGUACAAGAAAACUAGAUGAGGUUAGCACCUCGAAAUAACUGAAGGAUUGAAAAUAAGAACUUCUGAAAUAUCUUUAACACUCCGGAUAGAAAGAGAGAGGAAUUAAUAACAAGAUAGGCUGAAAGAAUUUCCAACGUCGGAAAGAAUUUAAUGGUUGAAAAGGAUAUGAUGACCGUGGAUAAUUGAACUGAAUUCACCGGUAAGGAUGACAAGAAUGAAUAAAGAUGAACAAUAAGCUCCUGAGAAUCUUCACAACGAAUGAUCGGGUAAGAGAGAAAAGAACACAUAGCGGAAGCACAAUGAAAAGAAAACUCUUGGAUGAAAAUUGAAUCACUGAAGAAAAGGGUGGGAGGGCGGGAAAAACAAAGACAACAUGGGACAGAUGAGAUGAACUCUGGAAUAAAAUGAGAGAAUGAUCUGCAACAACUCGAGAAGAUUGAAUUCAGUUGCAGAGAAGCACACCGGUAAAAUGGAAUUGAUACGACGACUUCGGUUGACAAGAAUUGAUAAGACAACUGAUUGAGCAAAAGAAUUUGCACUCUCAUAUGAAUAUGAGAACACUGCUUAGAAAAGAUCUGAAGUCACCGCUUGACAUCGAAUCAACUUGAAUUACCAUAAUCAACAAAACAAAGGGUAAGGCUUACAAUUAGCCAGAACAAACUCAUGAGAAAGAUUUCCUCCGAUAUUUUCGUGGACAGGAUCGCACGUGCUCGAUUUUACAGUAGCCAUCAAGUGCAAGGCAGUGCACCCGACAUAUGAAGCGUCCCCGAGUCGUAGCAAGCUACAAGGACUCUUUAAGACACAACGUGUACCGCUGUAAGUCGACCGUGAACAAACGAAUCCACUAGAUGGCGAACCCCAACCUAACAUCAUGCAUUUGUUGGAAGAUUGUCCUAUAAGCAACUACUUGAAUUCGCCCUANNNNNNNNNNNNNNNNNNNNNNNNNNNNNNNNNNNNNNNNNNNNNNNNNNNNNNNNNNNNNNNNNNNNNNNNNNNNNNNNNNNNNNNNNNNNNNNNNNNNAAGAAGGAAAAACGGGGAAGAAGGAAGCAUGGCGUGACGGAUCUGGACGAGGGGUUCCAUUCCAGCCAACAAGGUGGCUUGCACGAUGCUGCAACUCCAGCCGUGGAGAAUCUCCAUGGGGCGGCUCGGCUGCUCCUGCAGGAGCUGCUGCUGCAAGACAUAGAGAGAGAUGAGACGAGGGAGAGAGAUGGGAGGAAGGAGAGCAUGGCAUGGGGAUUGGGGUCGAACUAGGUAGGUGCCGGCGGCGGCCUCAGGAUGCUCCGGCGAGGCGUGCUCCGGCAAGGGGCUAGGGCGGCGCGGCUGGAGGAGCUACUGGUUUCGGGCACGAGCUGCUGGGGUGAACGAAGGAGCUGGUGCGGGGCGCUGGUGGCUAUCCUGGAUCGAACGGGAGAGGAGAUGGGGAUCGGGCAGAGCUGCUCGAUCGCUAGGGCUAGCGGGGGUAGGUGGGCCUUGGGCCGGCUGGGCUAGGAUUAGGAUAGGCUUUGAUCCGGAUUUGCAUAAAAAAACACUAUUACCAAGAUGGUCUAAUCGGCCCUCCGAUCUAAAUCGAACGGUUGCGUAAAAAUAGACUAGGGGUCCUAUUGAAAAACAAAUGAUGAGUUGCGGGAAAAGCGGGGUUGAUUCGGAUCCAACGUCUCGACCGCCCGGUUCAAGUUCCGGGAGGUUUUCAUGCUAGGUUGCGGCAAACUCGCAGCAUUGUGUAGAGGGGCUUGGUAGAGAUGAGAGGGAAAACGGGCGCCCGACAACUAUUUUAAAACACCGACAANNNNNNNNNNUGGCGCCACUACGGUCGACCGUUCGGGUACCAGACGGGCUACGAUCGCGACGAAAUUCGACACGCGGCCUGGCUAUAACUAAUCACGACCGCAUGCCAAGUUUCACUUCGAUCAGAGAAAGUUUUCAACACACUUCUAAACAGGGUUUUGACGAUGCCGCGGGCGCGUGCAGGUGCGGUCGGGCUCAGAACGGACAACGACGAGAACCGACAACUAACGACGGAUGCAACUUUUGAAAACUGGCGGCAACGGGUUGCCGAUGCAAUGCUGAUGAUGCGCAUGAUGCGAUGAUGAUGCAACAAAUAAAAAUAACCACACGACGAAAACGGAAUAGAAGGGGAAUCUUCUGGGGCAUCGGGAUCGGGCUGUCACAACUCUCCUACACUAUAAGAGGAUCUCGCCCCGAGAUCCAAGAAUGAAAGGGGGAGAGGAUGAGAAAGAACAAGAGGUAAAAACUUAGUCGCUUCUUUGACAAACGAGUGAAACCAACGAUCUUUGAGGUUACAAAGAGAUGAGGAAUGACAUGAGAAACAAGCAAGAAUUCACGGAAAAUUUCGGCAGCACUUCGGUAGGAAAAAGGGACAAAAAAUUCGAUAAGAUGGGAGAAAUAGACAAUAUUCAUAACAAACAACUAAAUAGAACAAGGGAAUGCCAUGAUCUUCAUAGAACAACAUGAUAGACCCAAAACAGCAACAUCACAAAACCUCCGGAACAAUUGAAUAGGAACUAGCUCAUACGGAAGAGAGAAAUGAAGAAAAGAAUGACAACUACUAACUCCAACGAACUUGUCAAGCAUCCUUGCAAGAAGAAUUGAACGAAGUUGUUGGAAAAACAACAACGAAAAGAACACGAUAGUAGUGGGCUUAUGGGAACCUUACAAACUAAUGAAGUGACAACCAGCCACUAACAGAAACAAGGACUGAUUGGGAGAAACAAGAUAUGAACAAUUUCUUACACCAAGAGGAUACAUUGAGAACUUGGAUUAAUGACAAGCACCAUGAUAGCAACAAUCCAUAGGAAAAGCUUUCGGUGAAAUCCAAACCAAGAUAGCUCAAUGAAGAAAUCAUGGGUUGAAAAUAUCUCAUGAUCAUAGAAUUGGUGGAUUUAAUUAUCUCAUUCUUGAAAGGAAAUCUCUUCGAGGCUCCUACACUAACAAGAGUGCUAUAGUACCACCUCAAAUGAUAAGGAAGAACAAAUGCACUUGGAAAUGCAAGAGAAAGAACACUUGAGGUACUCCAACAGGAAUGUUGAAGAACACUUGAGAAUGAAUCACAUCCUUGAAGAACCACCAUGACGAACCUCCGUAUCAAAAGGAUGAUGCAAAGAUAAGAAGGAUGAAAGAAUAAGAUUGAAGCCUUGCAAAGACUUCGAUGAAGCUUCACGAAGAGAUACUUGAGAAAACUUGGAACUCCGGAAAAGAAAGAUAAGAACACUUGAGAAAAAGGAAUUGAUAUAAUGAGCCACUCCGGAAGAAGAAUUGAAAUCUCUUGGAAGAAGGAAGAACAAGAAUAAGAAUUAUGUUAUGCUCAUCCUUCAUCAAAUUAAAUUGAUGACAAGCAACGGAUUUAGCAUACAACUUAUUCUUCUUGAAAAGAUUGAGGAUAGAUAUGAGCACAAACUAGAAGAAGUCUUGAAGGAGACACCGAUGAGAAUUGAAAUAAUGAGGCAACCAUGAAUGGAUGGAGAUACAUGAGAAUGAAGAGAUCAUGAGCCACCUGAGAGAAAACUAGGACAAGGCACCAUAAUAAACGGGAGACGAACGAAGAGAUAACAAUGGAGAAGAAUUUGAGAAUGAAAGCUGCAAGCUGAGAAUGAAGAAGUCUUCUAAAAUGAUGGCCUUCGGAGGAUCGAGAAUGAAAACAACUCACAAAAGCACCGGAUAGCAAGAAAAGGGAUUACUCUUGAUUGGAACAAUUAAGAUGAUGGCAACAAGAUGAAAUGAUGAAUAUCCAAGAGAAUAGACCAAUAUUUGAGAGAAAACACUCCUUCACAUUGGAAGCUGAGAAUGAUGACGAGAAACAACACCACGAAUAACUGAGACACUUCGAAAUAAAGAAGAAUGCAAGGUUGAGCCAAAUAUGAGAAUUAAUUCCAAUAGGCCUUGGAGAAGGGAUAUGACUGAUGAAUUCAUACUUAUGUCAUAGUUGAAAAGAAUUAAAGAACUCCGGAAAGAUUACAGAGCUAUAUAAGAUCCUGGGAAAGACCUGUGGGGUAUGGGCCCACUCAAACAAAUCACCGUUGAAAAGAUUACUAGAACGGGAGAUAUUGCACUGGUACAAGAAAACUAGAUGAGGUUAGCACCUCGAAAUAACUGAAGGAUUGAAAAUAAGAACUUCUGAAAUAUCUUUAACACUCCGGAUAGAAAGAGAGAGGAAUUAAUAACAAGAUAGGCUGAAAGAAUUUCCAACGUCGGAAAGAAUUUAAUGGUUGAAAAGGAUAUGAUGACCGUGGAUAAUUGAACUGAAUUCACCGGUAAGGAUGACAAGAAUGAAUAAAGAUGAACAAUAAGCUCCUGAGAAUCUUCACAACGAAUGAUCGGGUAAGAGAGAAAAGAACACAUAGCGGAAGCACAAUGAAAAGAAAACUCUUGGAUGAAAAUUGAAUCACUGAAGAAAAGGGUGGGAGGGCGGGAAAAACAAAGACAACAUGGGACAGAUGAGAUGAACUCUGGAAUAAAAUGAGAGAAUGAUCUGCAACAACUCGAGAAGAUUGAAUUCAGUUGCAGAGAAGCACACCGGUAAAAUGGAAUUGAUACGACGACUUCGGUUGACAAGAAUUGAUAAGACAACUGAUUGAGCAAAAGAAUUUGCACUCUCAUAUGAAUAUGAGAACACUGCUUAGAAAAGAUCUGAAGUCACCGCUUGACAUCGAAUCAACUUGAAUUACCAUAAUCAACAAAACAAAGGGUAAGGCUUACAAUUAGCCAGAACAAACUCAUGAGAAAGAUUUCCUCCGAUAUUUUCGUGGACAGGAUCGCACGUGCUCGAUUUUACAGUAGCCAUCAAGUGCAAGGCAGUGCACCCGACAUAUGAAGCGUCCCCGAGUCGUAGCAAGCUACAAGGACUCUUUAAGACACAACGUGUACCGCUGUAAGUCGACCGUGAACAAACGAAUCCACUAGAUGGCGAACCCCAACCUAACAUCAUGCAUUUGUUGGAAGAUUGUCCUAUAAGCAACUACUUGAAUUCCCACCUAUGAAUUCCCGAAAUAUCUGGUCAUGCAAUCUGGUACACGGAUACAAGGAGUAAUAAUCACACAACUCCUAUACUAACCCGUCACCUGUAUCACAUCCGUCAACACACGACCAUAAUCUCGGACCUUCAUCUACUACAGACCCUCGUGAUCACAACGAUACAAAGUAUGGCAGUACUCCCGAACAAUCUGCACCAGUACUGGGGACAUCGGGGUUAUCUCGCCACUAGUAGUAUUGAAGCAAUUACGAACAUCCUUCGUUCUGACAUAUUAAGAAAUCUGAAUGAUAACGAUGUGCUCAAGAAUCCCCUAGAGCUGAACUCCCGUGAAACUCAAAGCAGAUAGGAGGCACCAAGACAGAACUCCAUCACAUCGGCAUCAUAUAGAUCCCAAGAAUAUCCGCGCGAUCCUAAUUUUUUUUUUGAGUGAGAAGAGGAGUAGAAUUAAAAUAUUACGUCAAGAUUCCUCACCACAGCAUAGAAGAGGAGAAAAUAGAAUCCUACUCUCCGAUAUAUAACUAGACUCAAAGUAGUUUUUCACUAGACUCGACUCGGCCAAGUUCGAUCAAUCAAGGGGGCNNNNNNNNNNNNNNNNNNNNNNNNNNNNNNNNNNNNNNNNNNNNNNNNNNNNNNNNNNNNNNNNNNNNNNNNNNNNNNNNNNNNNNNNNNNNNNNNNNNNAGCGUUGGGUACCUGCUGGUCGGGAACGGCGGGGACAGGUCCCAGGAUGGAGGCGCCUGGUCCAGCUCCGGUCAGCCAUGGAUGGGCAACCCCUGCACCUGUAGAUAGAAGGUAGAACGAGGCGUGAGGGAGAGAAGAGAGAACGGGAGGAGCAGGGGAAGAAGGAAAAACGGGGAAGAAGGAAGCAUGGCGUGACGGAUCUGGACAAGGGGUUCCAUUCCCGCCAACAAGGUGGCUUGCACGAUGCUGCAACUCCAGCUGUGGAGAAUCUCCAUGGGGUGGCUCGGCUGCUCCUGCAGGAGUUGCUGCUGCAAGACAUAGAGAGAGAUGAGACGAGGGAGAGAGAUGGGANNNNNNNNNNCGGGGUCGAACCAGGUAGGUGCCGGCGGCGGCCUCGGGAUGCUCCGGCGGGGCGUGCUCCGGCAAGGGGCUAGGGCGGCGCGGCUGGAGGAGCUACUGGUUUCGGGCACGAGCUGCUGGGGCGAACGAAGGAGCUGGUGCGGGGCGCUGGUGGCUGUCUUGGAUCGAACGGGAGAGGAGAUGGGGAUCAGGCAGAGCUGCUGGGCUAGAGACAAAGAUUUGAUGUUGUGGUCACACAGUUGACGAGGUGAUGCCCAAAGCAUUGCAUGGUUACUAUUCAUUUAAAGGGGCCGAUAGACGGAAUGACCAGAAUGUUGGACAACAACCUCAGAGCAUGUACGGGAAUCAGUCAAAGGAUUAGCCUGCCGUGAACAAUAUCUUUCUACCAGAACCUCCGUCAGUCAAGUCAGCAUAAUAAACGGGUGGAAGUCAGAGUAACAUAUGAGGAUCCAGUGAAACAAACCUCCUCUAAGCCACGCAGUGAGUAAGAUAACCGAGCAGGAGCAUCAUACCAAGGCAAAAAGGAAACCCGAGUUGGAAACGGUUUCUUCAAGUGGGGAUAUUCAUGCUUGAAUCCUGAGCAACCAAAUCUCAAGGACGAGAUUUUUUAAGGGGGGUAGGUUUGUAACACCCUGGAUUUUUCCCAUUUCUUUUUCAUUUGAUUUUGGUCUGGAUUUGCUUUACUGUGGCUUGGUAGUUUUGGAACCUAAAGGGAUCACGCUUGAUUUCUCUUCCCUAGUGACUUGCCAACCUCCAAACCAUCCCAAGACCUUGUCAUCUCCAUCUUGGACUAAUCGCAAUAAUAUUUUCCCUGGGAAUAUUCAUUUUCUAUUUAAGGAAUAACCCUGUUGCCUCGGGUUGUGAAGCAACCAACAUUUCUAUCAUUCCAAAAAUUCCCAAAUAAUUCUUAUAAAUCUCUUGGGUUAUAUCUUCCUAAGAUAUGCGAAAUCCUUCCUUGCCAUGUUCCAAAAUAUUCCUCAAAUAUUCCUUUUCUGAUUCUGCCCUAGCUGUCAAGUUGUGAAGCAAGUACCAUUUUAUGUGCUUUCUUGCUCUCAAACUUUGUGGACACUCUUUCCUAUCCAUAAUCAUUGCCUCAUGCCAAAAUUCAACCUCAUUUGGCUAGUGAAUAUUUCUUGGAAAUUUUCCAAAGUUUCUGAUCCACACGAAGCUUUGGGAAACAAGUGCUAGCUAGGAGUAUGCAAAUGAGUUGCAAUUUUUCCAUGAUCUCUAUAUGCUCAAAUCAGGACUCUCCACAAAUUUGGGCAUCACCUCGUCAACUGUGUGACCACAGCAUCAAAUCUUUGUUUCUAGUCAUUAUUUUAGAUUGGGCUAGCGGGGGUAGGUGGGCCUUGGGCCGACUGGGCUAGGAUUAGGAUAGGCUUUGAUCCGGAUUUGCAUAAAAAACACUAUUACCAAGAUGGUCUAAUCGGACCUCCGAUCUAAAUCGAACGGUUGCGUAAAAAUAGACUAGGGGUCCUAUUGAAAAACAAAUGACGAUUUGCGGGAAAAGCGGGGUUGAUUCGGAUCCAACGUCACGACCGCCCGGUUCGAGUUCCAGGAGGUUUUCACGCUUGGUUGCGGCAAACUCAGAGCAUUGUGUAGAGGGGCUAGGUAGUGAUGAGAGGGAAAACGGGCGCCCGACAACUAUUUUAAAACACCGACAAACGUCCGACGAUAGACCGAAUACGGCGCCACUACGGUCGACCGUUCGGGUACCAGACGAGCUACGAUCGCGACGAAAUUCGACAGGCGGCCUGGCUAUAACUAAUCACGACCGCAUGCCAAGUUUCACCUCGAUCAGAGAAAGUUUUCAACACACUUUUAAAACAGGGUUUCGACGAUGCCCCGGGCGCGUGCGGGUGCGGUCGGGCUCAGAAUGGACAACGACGAGAACCGGCAACUAACGACGGAUGCAACUUUUGAAAACUGGCGGCAACGGGUUGCCNNNNNNNNNNNNNNNNNNNNNNNNNNNNNNNNNNNNNNNNNNNNNNNNNNNNNNNNNNNNNNNNNNNNNNNNNNNNNNNNNNNNNNNNNNNNNNNNNNNNUUUGCUCGAUUCGGAGUUCGUAUGCGAAAGUUAUGGUUGUUUCAGUGGCGAGCGAUAGUACCGCUGGACCUAACGGUAGUACCCCUAGAGUUGGCGGUAGUACCGCUGGCCCUGGCAGUAGUACCGCUAGCUGGCGGUAGUACCGCCCCUGGUCAGCGGUAGUACCGCUCCAGGAGCUUAGUACCGCCUGCCUAGCGGUUGUUCGUGGACGGACCUUUUUGCAAAGACUUUCUUGGCAGUGGUAGUGCCUUUGCACUACCAGGGGCCCAGCGGUAGUACCGCUGGAGUGCCAGCGGUAGUACCGCUAGCUGGCGGUAGUACCGCUGGAGUGCCAGCGGUAGUACCGCUGGAGCUCGGGCGGAGAGUGGGGGUAACGGUCUGAUUCCUUCCCCCACUAUAUAAAGGGGGUCUUCUUCCCCCUUGGUUUCAUCUAUCCAUUGAGCUCUUGUUCUACCUCCAUUGUUGACAUUCUCAACCCAAUGAGACAAAGUUUUACGAACACUUUUUAAAACAAGAUUUAAAAGAUGUCGCGGGCGCGUGCGAGUGCGGUCGGGCUCAGAACAGACAACGACGAGAACCGGCAACUAACAACGGCUGUAAGUUUGAAAACUGGCGGCAAAGGAACGCCGAUGCAAUGUUGAUGAUGCGCAUGAUGCGACAAAAGAAAAUAGACACACGACGAAAAUGGAAUAGAAGGGGAAUCUUCUGGAACGUCGGCAUCGGGUUGUCACAACUCUCCUACACUACAAGAGGAUCUCGCCCUGAGAUCCAAGAAUGAAAGGGGGAGAGGAUGAGAAAGAACACGAGGUAUAACUUAGUCGCUUCUUUGACAAACGAGUGAAACCAACGAUCCUUGAAGGUUGCAAAGAGAUGAGGAAUGAUAUGAGAAACAAGAAUUCACGGACAAUUUCGGCAGCACUUCAGUAGGAAAAUGGGACAAAAAAUUCGAAAAGAUGGGCGAAUUAGACAAGAUACAUAACAAACAACUAAAUAGAACAAGGGAACACCAUGAUCUUGAUAAACAACAUCUUUGACCCAAAAGAGCAACAUCACAAUGCCUCCGGAAGAAUAGAAUAUGAACUAGCUCAUACGGAAGAAGAGAAUUAAGAAAAGAAUGAAAACUAUAUCGCAAAUGAACUUGGCAAGCAUCUUUGCAAGAAGAAUUGAACGGAGUUGUAGGAAAUACAACAACGAAAAGAACAAGAUAGUAGUGGGCUUAUGGAAACCUUUCAAACUAAUGAAGUAACAACCAGCCACUAAGAGAAACAAGGAUUGAUUGGGAGAAAGAAGAUAUGGACAAUUUCUUACACCAAGAGGAUACAUUGAGAACUUGUAUUAAAGACAAGCACCAUGAUAGCAACAAUCCAUAGGAAAAGCUUGAGAUGAAAUCCAAAUCAAGAUAGCUCAAUGAAGAAAUCAUGGGUUGAAAAUAUCUCAUGACCAUAGAAUUGGUGGGUUUAAUUAUCUCACACUUGAAAGGAAAUCUCUUUGAAACUCCUAUACUAACAAUAAUGUUGUAAUACCACCUCAAAGGAUAAAGGAAGAAUAAUUGCACAUAGAAAUGCAAGAGAAAGGAUACUUGAGGUUCUCCAACAAGAAUCCUGAAGAACACUUUGAGAAUGAAUUGAUAUCAUGAGCCGCUCCGAAAGAAGAAUUCGGAUUACUAUGAACAAGAAUAAGAAUAAGAAUUAUGUUAUGCUUAUCCUUCAUCAAGUUUAAUUGAUGACAAGCAACGGAUUUAGCAUACCACUUAUUAUUUUUGAGAGAAUCUUGGAGAGACAAAGAGAUAAGCACCACUUGAAGUAUAAUUGAAGGAAGCACCGCCAAGAAUUCACAAUUGAAUGGGAACACCACGAAUUAAUGGAGAUACAUACGAAUGACGAGAACAUGAGCCACCUGAGAGAAACUAUAACAAGGCACCAAAUAAUCGACAGACGAACGAAGAGACAACAAAGGAGAAGAAUUAGAGAACGAAAGCUGAAAGCUGAGAACGAAGAAUCUUCUAAAAUGAUGGCCUUCGGAGGAUCGAGAAUGAAAACAACUCGGAAAAGCACUGGAUAGCAAGAAAGUGAUUACUCAUGAUUGGAACAAUUAAGAUGAUGGCACCAAGCUGAAAUGAUGAAUCUUCUAGAGAAUGGACCAAGAUUGAGAGAAACACUCCUUCGAAUCUUCAAUGGAGAAAAUGACGAAAAGAACCUCACCAAGAAUAACUGAGACACUCCGGAAUAACGAAGAAUGAAAGGUUGAGCCAAAGACGAGAAACAAUUCAAAUUGAUCUUGAAGAGGGAAUCUGACUGAUGAAAUUCAUACUUAUGUCAUAGUUGAAAAGAAUUAAAGAUCUCUGGAAAGAUUACGAGAGCUAUAAAAGAUCCUGGGAAGAACUUGUGGGUUAUGGGCCCACUAAAAGAAACCACCGUUGAAACAAUUACUAAAAAAGAAAGAUACUGCACCGGUAGAAAUGAAAACUUGAUGAGGUUGAGCACCUCAAAAUAAUUAAAGAAUUGAAAACAAGAAACUUCUGAGAUAACUUCAACGCUCCAGAUAGAAUAGAGAUAACUGAAUAAACAAGAUAUGUUGAUAAGAAUCUCCAACAUGGGAAAGGAUUUCAAGGAUGAAUAGGAUAUAAUGAACACGGACAACUAAACUAAAUUCACCGGAAAAGAUAAAAAGAUGGAAUAAAGAUGAACACGAAGCUCCUAAGAAUCUUCACAAUAAAUCAACGGAUAGGAAACAGAAUAUAAGAUAGCGGAAUCUAUAAAGAAAUGAAAUGCACUUGGAUGAAAUCCAAUCAUUGAAGAAAAGGGAGGGAGGGCGGGGAAAACAAGGACAACUUGGGCUUAAUGACAUGAACUCCGGAAUAAAAUGAGAGAAUGAUCUUGCAAAAUUGGAGAGGAUUGAAUUCACUUGGAGAGAACCACACCGGCUGAAAAGAAUUGACACAAAACAACUCCGGUUGACAACAAUUGAUAUGCCAAUUUGAAUGAACAAAAUAAUUUGCAUUCUCACAUAAAAAUAUGAGAACACCUCUUAGGAAAUAUCUGAAAUCACCACUUGACAUCGAAGCAACUUGAAUUACCAUAUUCCAACAAAACAAAGGGUGUGGCUUACGAAACAAGCCAGAACAAACUCAUGAGAAAGAUUUACGUUCGAUAUUUUCGUGGACAGGAUCACAGGGCUCGAACCUUACAGUAGCCAUCAAGUGCAAGGAAGUGCACCCGACAUACGAAGCGUCCCCGAGUCGUAGCAGGCUACAAGGACUCUUUAAGACAAAAGGACAACCGCUGUAAGACGACCGUCAACAAACAAAUCCACUGGAUGUCGAACCCCAACCUAACACCAUGCAUUUGUUGGAAGAUUGUCCUAUAAGUAACUACUUGAAUUCCCACCUAAGAAUUCCCAAAAUUUCUGGUCAUGCAAUCUGGUACACAGAUACAAGGAGUAAUAAUCACACAACUCCUGUACUAACCCAUCACCUGUAUCACAUCCGUCAACACAUAACCAGAAUUUCGAACCUUCAUCUACAACAGACCCUCGUGAUCACAACGAUACAAAGUAUGGCAGUACUCCCAAACAAUCUGCACCAGUACUAGGGACAUCGGGGUUAUCUCUCCACUACUAGUAUUGAAGCAAUUACGAACAUCCUUCGUUCUGAGAUACUAAGAAACCUGAAUGAUAACGAUGUGCUCGAGAAUCCCCUGGAGCUCAACUCCCCGAAAGAAAACAAGUCAGACAUGAGGCACCAAGACAGAACUCCGUCACAUCGGCAUCAUAUAGAUUCCAAAAACAUCCGUGUGAUCCUAAAAAAAAUUUGAGUCAGAAGAGGAGUAGAACAAAUUAUUACGUCAAGAUUCCUCACCAGAGCAUAGAAGAGGAGAAAAAAGAAUCCUACUCUCCGAUAUAUAACUAGACUCAAAGCAGUUUUUCACUAGACUCGACUCGGCCAAGUUCGAUCAAUCAAGGGGGCUCCUAGGUCGGUACUGCUCUGAUACCAACUUGUCACGCCCAAGAUGCGACCCUAUCCUCAAUUUGGCACGAGGGCCUCGUCAGGGAUAGAAGCGCAUCUUGUCGCUUCACAAGAAUGGAUAUCGUUACAAGUACAUGUACUAAAAAGAAGAGAUAUAUAUAUAUAGAAUUGGCUUACACUCGCCACAAGCUACAUCAGAGUCACAUCAGUACAAUACAUAAUCAUCAUGAAGAAGAGCAGGGUCCGACUAUGGACGAAAACAAACGAGAAUAGAAGAACGACGUCCAUCCUUGCUAUCCCAGGCUGUCGGCCUGGAACCCAUCCUAGAUCGAUGAAGAAGAAGAAGAAGAAGCAACUCCAAAUGAACAAUCAACACGCUCGCGUCAAGUAACCUUUACCUGUACCUGCAACUGGUGUUGUAGUAAUCUAUGAGCCACAGGGGACUCAGCAAUCACAUUUCUAAAGGUAUCAAGACUAGCAAAGCUUAAUGGGUGACGUAUGGUUAAGUGGUGAGGUUGCAGCAGCGGCUAAGCAUAUAUUUGGUGGCUAAACUUACGAGUACAAGAAUUAAAGAGGGGGAAGAUCUACGCAUAACGGAAGUGAACUACUGAUGAUCAAAUGAAUGAUCCUGAACACCUACCUACGUCAGACAUAACCCCGUCGUGUCCUCGAUCGGAGAAGGAACUCACGAAAGAGACAGUCACGGUUACGCACACAGUUGGCAUAUUUUAAUUAAGUUAACUUCAAGUUAUCUAGAACCAAUGUUAAACGAAGUUUCCACGUUGCCACAUAACCGCGGGCACGGCUUUCCAAAAAGAUUUAACCCUGCAGGGGUGCUCCAACUAGUCCAUCACAAAUUACCACAAGCUGCAUAGAAAUCGUCAAUCACGACACUCGCGAUCUCGUCGGACUCCUUAGUGGAAAACCUCAACUCUGAGAUUACCCAAAGCAUCACCCGAAUCCCAAUGGACAAGAUAUCUUGUCAAAGGUAAAACUAAUCCAGCAAGGCCGCCAGACAUGUCGACGAUCCCGAUAGGAGCCGCGUAUCUCGUUCUCAGGACACGGCGGAUAAGCGAAGCAUACGGUGGCCUAAUAAAUAUCACCCGAGUUUCCCCGGGUUGGCCCCGCACGAUGCUCUGUUUUGGACCAGCACCAUCAGCACUGGCCCUUCCUGUAUUAUGUAGAAUUACUCCUCGGGUAGCGCUAACUCCCUAAGCAUUUCAGUAUUAACACAAUUAUUAUGUUGGGCAAAUGUAGUACUUAUGUUGGGCCUUGCCAGACCAGCUUUAAUCUAAAACGAAUUAUCAAGGGGGUCCCCAUAACAACCCCGAUCGUGUUAGGAGCGCUCAAUUAUGGAACAUAACACCGGUAGCCGAAAGUAAGGGGGCAAAGGUGGAACAAAACACCAGGCUAGAAAGGCCGAACCUUCCACCUUUUACCAAGUAUAUAGGAGCAUUAAAUUAAAUAGCAUUUAAUAGGGUGAUAUAACAAGGAAUCCAUGUUAUCAGAUGAAAGAAAUGCACCUGCAACUAGCAACGCUAACACAGGGUUAAGCAAGCGGUAACAUAGCCAAACAGUGGUUUGCUAGGUUGAACAGGUUGAAGGGUUUCAUGGCAAUGUUCAGGGGCUGAUAUUUAACAUGUGGUAGGCAACGAGACAUAAUCGAUAGAAGCGAUAAAACUAGCAUGGCAAGGAUAGUAAUGGUAUCUAGGGAAAUGGUCAUCUUGCCUGAGAUCCCGCUUGGAAGAAGAAUGACUCCGUGAAGCAGACAAACCGAAGUAGUCAAACGGGUCCUCACUUUCCGACACGCUUGCGGAACUCUAUCGAGAUGGAGGAAACCGGAAGCAAGAAUCAACAAACGAGAUUCACCACACGAAGCACAACACAUAUGAUGCAUGAGAAACUAUCACGCCCAAGAUGCGACCCUAUCCUCAAUUUGGCACGAAGGCCUCGUCAGGGAUAGAAGCGCAUCUCGUCGUGUCGCAAGAAUGGAUAUCGUUACAAGUACAUGUACUGAAAAGAAGAGAUAUAUAUAUAUAGAAUUGGCUUACACUCGCCACAAGCUACAUCAGAGUCACAGCAGUACAUUACAUAUUCAUCAAGAGUAAGAGCAGGGUCCGACUAUGAACGAAAACAAACGACAAAAGAAGAACGACGUCCAUCCUUGCUAUCCCAGGCUGCCGGCCUGGAACCCAUCCUAGAUCGAUGAAGAAGAAGAAGAAGAAGAAGAAGCAACUCCAAAUGUACAGUCAACGCGCUCGCGUCAAGUAACCUUUACCUGUACCUGCAACUGGUGUUGUAGUAAUCUAUGAGCCACAGGGGACUCAGCAAUCUCAUUUCCAAAGGUAUCAAGACUAGCAAAGCUUAAUAGGUGAGGCAUGGUUAAGUGGUGAGGUUGCAGCAGCGGCUAAGCAUAUAUUUGGUGGCUAAACUUACGAGUACAAGAAAUAAGAGGGGGAUGAAUUACGCAUAACGGACGUGAACUACUGAUGAUCAAAUGAAUGAUCCUGAACACCUACUCACAAUCCGACACGCUUGCGAAACUCUAUCGAGACGAAGCAAACCGGAAACAAGAAUCAACACACGAUAUACACCACACGAUGCACAACACAAAUGAUGCAUGAGCAGCUGAAUACAUGCAAGUCACGGCAUGACAAUUCACACAAACAAACACUAACGAGUUGCAUAUUGACGAAACUCCACGUUUAUUUAUUUAGUUCUAUCCCGAUUAGGUACACGGCAAUAUUAAAUGUUGCUAAACAUGCAAGAGGUGAAGCGCAAUUAAUCUACCAAUCUAGGCAUUUUAAAUGAGGUCGGAAAUGACAUAUAGCACCUCCGAGACGACCUCAUAUGUUAAUUUACAAUUCUGUUCAGAUCUGAACUAACACAUUUAAUUAGUUUUUAAACAGCAAAACAAAUAGGUUCACGUGAUUCUACGCGUUGUUACAAGCAAUUUACACAAAGAGAACAUCUCCAACGGAGCUACGGUUCAAAAGUUACAAGCACCGCAAGAUAUGAUGGCAUGAAUGCAAUAUGUGUGCAACGACGGCUACGAGCACUUCAAAACAUACGACCAGCAAGAGAAAAUGAAACUACACGAGAUUCUAAGCAAGUUUCAUAUAGGACACGAUCAAAACGGAGCUACGGAUCAAAAACUACGAGCUAAACAAGAAAUCACUACAAUCUGCCAAAAUCAGCCACAUAGCAUUUUCUACGCCCCACAACUACGAGCUACACAACUCCAAUCUACUCAACCAAGGCAUGACACGAAAGAGGGUUAAGAAGCACUACAACAAACAACUAACAACAACUAGCAUGGCAUCAUGUAUCACUAGGGAAAGAAGUCACAAAAUGGCUUCUCACACACAGAUUCAGACUUAGUGAAAAUUACACUUCAUGAAAGUGUAGUUUUCGAUCUGAAGACAUAUUGACAGCAGCAAAACCAAUAGCUACAGGACUCCAAAUGGCAUGAACAUUCACAGCAUGCUAGAGAAUCACAAGGUCUACAACUAACUCCAUUGCACCAACCUCAAAAGAGCUACAAAUCACAAGAUAGAAGCAAGACAAGACAGCAACAAAAUAUAACAGAUUCCAGACUUAGAAAUAUUUCAGCACCUCCAAAUCAGCACUAUUUCUAGCAACUUGAGAGCAAGCAAACCACACCUAAACAUGCAUUUCUAUUGCAACCAAAAAUACCAGGGGCUAGAGUAAACAUCAAAGAACAACUCCCUAGUUGACAACUUAAUCAAACGAAGCACGGAAUAAAUCCUACGAAAUAAACAAGAGGGCAACACGGCAAAAUAUCGCGCGAACUAACUUGCUCAAAAGCUAAAACUAAAUACACAGAAAAAUCCUAUGGAUUUUUCUACCCGGAAAACAUAUAAAACAUGUGGGGUUGCAACACGAAAAUAUUGCCACACGUAAAUGCGAGAUAAAAACCUAGACACGAAAAAAUAGACUAGUGGCAAUCCCUACACGCAAAAAUACCAAUGACUACUCUAAACUACAUGGAAAAGAGGUUCCUAAAACAUGGACAUUUCUACUAGGGCAUACGAGCAAUCCGGACACGCACGAGAAAUUAUUACGGGACCAAACCUAUAGAAACAGCAUGUUAAUCUAUGCAUAUGGCGGCUCAAACUACAUCAAACA